UUUCCAAUACUAAAUUAAUUAUUUAAUUUCAAGUUAUACACUAUUUCUAAUAUCCUUUUUUUUAAUUCAUUUAUCUCUCUUAUUAAUCAUAAGAUAAGGUCAUUUUAGUGUAAAAGCAUAAAUUUUUCAUAAAAUCAAGACACAUUUAAUGAUAGAAUCUAGAAAGAGCUCUUAGUAAAAACGCUCCCCAAAGUUAGGAAAAGAUUUUUCCGCCUCUCUCGCCUUCUCGGCCACAGAGGUGCUUUCGGCGAUCGCUCCUCCUCCUCCGGUGAACGGAUUUCUUUGGUGGCGACACCAUUGAACUCAUCUCAUCGGCGCGCUCAAUCUGAGUGUGACUUUGUGGGGUUCUGUCGUCGGUUACGGGAGUUUCGUUUUGUCAUCUUCUUCGCAGAUCUAAGGUUUUGAACGACGGUUUUUGGUGGUGUUUGUGUGUGAGAUUGAUUCGUUGCAUUGUGGGGUGGCCGGAUCUACGUUUUUCUUGGGUUUUGGCCACGUUUUGGUGGCUACGGUUUGGCUGUAGACAGUAUUUUCCGGCGGAGAUAGGGCGACGGUGAGUUGACGGCCAUUGUUGCAGACGUUGUGCUGACGGUCGCCGCUAGGGUUUCGGCUGGGCUUGGCAGCUAGGGUUUUUCAGAGCCUUUGGCGGCUAGGGUUUCGGUGGGCUUGGCGGCUAGGGUUUUUCGGUGGCUUUUGGCGGCUAGUGUUUCUUGGUGGGCUUUGGUGGCUAGGAUUUGGGUGGAUUAGGGUUAGGGAGUCACAAGCGGUUAGGGUUUGGAGGCGCCUCAAUGGUGAGAAAGAAGGCCGGCAGCGGGGGAGGAAAAUGAGCGGCUACGGCUCUCCCCAUUGCGACUAUUGCAGAAAUUCCCACGGAAGAGACGACGACUCCCAUUCCACAUGCCGAAUCAUCAAAGGCAGGUGAAAUCCGGGGUCCCACAACGGGCCAAUACUCCGGUGAUGGCGAACGAAUGAACUGGUCUCAAUUCUUCAAAGGCAAUCCGCCAACAUCGGAGGAAUUGGCGUUGGAAUCGGUGGAAGGUGAGGAUGACACAAACAUCCUCCGAUUUGAGGAAGAAGACGAGGUAGAUUGGGGUACGAAGGGUGUGUUCUUGGCCGUUGCUUACUUUUCGAGGAAAUUCCCCGGACUUGACGCCAUACACGCGAUAAAGACGCAAUGGGAGGUCCUGGUGAAAUUCCAAAUCCAUCCUACGGGGUGGACCGUGUUCAAAUUCACAACGGACCAUGAUCGGAUGAAGGUGGUGGAGACGGGGAAGUUUGAACAUGGAGUAGCGACGCUAUAUAUCCGUGCCAUGCCAGACUUCUUCAACUUCGACAUCAACGCUAUGAUGUUUGUACCGGUUUGGGUGAUCCUACGCAACAUCUCUGCGGAACUCUACAACAAAAAGGCGUUGAGUAAGAUCGCUCAAAAGAUUGGCAAACCAGUCCAAAUGGACAAAGUCACGAGUGAGAUGGGCAGGUUGGGGUUUGCACAACUUCAAGUUGAAGUGGACGCGUCCAAACCAUUACGACGGUCGCUUACAUUGAUCAGUGCGAAAGGUAAGAGCUAUGAGGUCCCGAUUGAAUAUAGCUACGAACCGGUAUUUUGUUCGAAAUGCCAAACCCUUACGCAUAAGACGGAUCAAUGUCGAGCGGAGGCGGUGCUUAAGCGAGGGAGGAGCUGGAAGCCCAAACCGGUGGUGAGUGUUGCACAAGAUCCACCAGUGACUACAGUUUGGGCAGGCAAACGAACGGUGAUUGCGGAUGAGACGGUGACGGAGACUGUGGCGGAGGCCGAAGAUGAAUCCGUGGUUGGAGAGGUAGGAGUAUCGGAUGAUGCCUCUACCGAUUGUUAUGAAGUGGACAACAACGACCGAGGUUCGUUGGUGGAGUUUAAUGCCCUUGACUCACCAAAAACCCCGGAACAGCCCCCAAGUCGAGGAUUACAACCAAGAAGAAGUUUAUUCCUCCAAAUGCUAUCCUUAUGCCCAAAGAGGGGGGAGCAAGCUCGGGACCGCCAACCGAGCCGGCGCUGGAGAGCGUGAGGUUAUUGAGCUGCGCGGGGGAGCCUCCAUCCCCCACGGUCGAAAUGAUUGUUGGAUGCUGGAAUGUGAGGGGGUUUUUUAACUCUCUCACGCAGAAAGAGGUCGUGGACCUCAUUGGAAAGCACAAGCUUUCGGUUUGUGGCUUACUGGAAAUGAAGAUCUGGGACCCGGGAACGCUGACCUCUAUCAUGGGCCGUCGUUUCCGCCACUGGGAGAACCUCAACAAUUUCCAUCUCCAUACGACAGGCCGGAUUCUAAUUCUGUGGAACCCGGAUGUGGCUCCGGUGGAAGUGGUUGACAUGACGACGCAUGUGAUCCAUUGCAAGGUAACAUGUAUGGUCACCAAUCGGCUAUGCUAUGUUAGCUUUGUGUAUGGACUUUUGCUGAAUGAUAUACAGGAUUGCUUUCGUCAAAGUGGAUUGGAAGAUUUACCUUCAACGGGUUUCCACUACACUUGGACGAACCAAACAGUGUGGAGCAAGCUUGAUUGUGAGUUUGUGAACCAAACUUGGAGGGAUGUAUUUGAGGGUAGUUCGGCAUAAUUCCUCCCUUUUGGGGCGGUGUCGGGCCACACUCCGAUAAUUGUGAAACUCAAAGGAACAGAGCCCCCGGCUUCUCGGCCCUUUCGGUUUUUCAAAAUAUGGACCCAACAUGGUGAUUUCCAACACGAAGUAAGGGAGGUGUGGUCAUCCAACCACCGGGGCAGCCGCCAAUGGGUUGUUUGCCAAAAUCUCAAGGCUCUUAAGCAUCCACUUAAGCGCCUACAUAGACGUGAAUUUGUGCAUAUCUCGGAACGGGUCAAACGGGCAAGUGGUGAGCUUGAGGACAGCAGCAAGCCUACCACAACGAUCCCCACAAUCCGCAGUUACGUGGGGAGAUGUUGUCCAAAGUGGAGAGAUUUCGUUUCUUGGCGAAAGCGGAGAAGAGAUUUUUCUACCAAAAGGCGAAACUUCAGUAUUUACGAGACACAGACCGGACGACAAAAUUUUUCCAUGGUAUUGCUAAACGUAAUGCCAAACGGAACAAUAUUGUAUCACUCCGCAAGGAGGAUGGCUCGGUUACUACCUCUCGGGAUGAGGUCCUUGCGGAAUUUGAAACAUUUUACAAGAAUUUCUUGGGUACUCGGGUCCCUUGCGAACCGGUCGAUCCUCAUAUCAUUGCCACCAGACCGGUUCUUUGGGAGGAAGAUCGGGCGAGUUUGAUUCAGCCAGUGACGGAUAUGGAGAUUCGAGAAGCCCUCUUCGAUAUUGCGGAUGAUAAGGCGCCAGGCCCGAAUGGAUAUACGGCUCUUUUCUUCAAAGUUGCAUGGUCGACCGUGGGCCCCCUCCUUACGGAAGCGGCUUUGGAGUUCUUUCGGAGCGGCGAGCUGCUCAAACAAUGGGAUAAUACGGUUUUGGUUUUUAUACCGAAAUCGGCCCAAGCUCAAACGGUGGCCGAUUUUCGCCCCAUAGCCUGCUGCAAUGUUAUUUACAAGUAGUAAUUGCAAAGGUUAUUACGAAACGCAUCAAGAAGGUUCUACCUUCAAUCAUAGAUAGAGCCCAAUCGGCUUUUGUGAGUGGCCGUUCUAUUACGGACAACAUUCAUAUGGUUGAACAACUUAUGAGGGGAUACGAACGCAAACGUAUAUCGCCUCGUUGCUUACUCAAUAUGGAUUUACGGAAGGCCUAUGACUCCGUAAAUUGGGAUUUCUUACGGUCUAUGUUGAUGGGACUUGGGUUCCUAGACAUGGUGAUUCGGUGGAUUAUGGAGUGUGUGACACCAGCCUCCUAUACGGUGUCGGUUAAUGGAGUGACGAGGGGUUACUUUCCGUGGAUGAGAGGACUGCGACAAGGGGACCCGUAAUCGCCUUAUCUCUUUGUUAUUUGCAUGGAGUAUCUUUCUCGACUGCUGCAUGUGAGAGCGACGAAGCAAGAGCUCAAUUUCCACCCGAUGUGCCACUUGCACAAAGUGACGCACCUCAUCUUUGCCGAUGAUUUGAUGCUUUUCUUGAGAGGUGAUGUUGCCUCUGUUCGUACGCUUGCCACAACAGUGCUUGAGUUUGGGCAAGCAUCGGGGCUUCAUGUGAAUAACUUGAAAUCCAAUUUAUUCAUCGCUCGAGUUCAUGUGGCUGACCGAACGACAAUUGAGGAGGAAUUCCGCUUUUCUACCGAAACCUUCCCCUUUCGCUAUUUGGGUAUUCCUCUUGCUGCGUCCAAACUCCAUGUGCUUAAUUACCAACCCCUCUUGGAUAAAAUUGAGCAUGCCAUAGGGGUGUGGACGGGUCAUACGCUAUCGUACGUCGGCCGUUUGGAGAUCUUGAAGGCAGUUGUUCAAGGUACGUGUUGCUAUUGGCUCUCGAUUUUUUCGAUCCCGAUUAUGGUCAUUGGUUAUAUUGAAGAUAUGUGUCGUGCUUUCUUAUGGGGUACUUGUGCGCCGAAAGUUGCUUGGGAAUCUUUGUGUAAGCCGAAGGCCAAUGGUGGGUUGGGCCUUUGCUGCUUGCGUACAUGGAACCAUAGUUUGCUUGUGAAGGACCUUUGGGACAUCCACUUGAAGAAGGACUCCCUAUGGAUUCAAUGGGUCAAUGAAUUCUACCUAAAGGGCACGACUAUCUGGGAAUGGCAACCGUCGGCGACUUCUUCCCCAUGUUUCAAAAAUCUUUGUGGGAUCCGGGAUGAAGUCGUGGGCAAGGCGGGCUCCAUUCCGUUGCUCCUAGCUCAAUUGAAGACGUGCUCGAGCUUGGGAAAACUUACGGUGGGACGGAUUUACGACUGAAUUAGGGCUCCAACCGGGGCUCAGCCAUGGGGUCGACAUCUUUGGGCCAACUCCAUGACACCAAAGCAUUCGUUUGUUCUUUGGAUGGCAGCCCUUGAUCGGUUGCAAACCAUGGAACAUUUAUCUUAUCGGGACAUCAAGAAGAAUUGUGUGUUGUGCGGCGCGGUGAAUGAGGACCGAGAACAUUUGUUUUUUAUGCGCCUGUCGCGCGAAGUAUGGGAUCGUAUUCGAGUUUGGCUGGGGAUUUCACUACUAUACGAGCUGCUCUUAAGUGGCUUACCAAGGAUGUUAAAGGUAAAUCGAACCGAAGCAAGACGAGUAGAUGUGUUUUGGCAAGCGUUGUUUACCAUAUAUGGGAGGCUCGGAACAAAUGGAGAUUCGACAAGAUAGAGACUACGACUACUGCCCUUGUUCGGAAGAUUCAGAUUCACGUUUAUUCAGCUAUGUUCAUACAGUACCCGGAACUGACUACCACCAGUGGGGGCCGCUUUAUCGUCGGCCAAGUUGACGCACACUAGGGAGGGGGCAUAGCCCCAAUUGGCGGCUAGGAUUUUCACAUUUUCUAUGUUAUUCGAUAGUUAGAUGCUUUCUAUUGUUUCCUCAAUUCCCUCGGGUAUGCCCGUUGUAAUUGUCUACGAUCUUUUUCUAAUUUAUAUUGUUUACAUCUUCGAUCAAAAAAAAAAAAAAACACAUUUAAUGAAAUCCUUAAUCCGUGUGCAAAGCGAAAAACGACUAUUAAAAGGGAACGAAUGGAGUGUAAUUUUCAAAUGGAAAUAAGGUAUCAUUUAUUAAGGAUAUGAAAUUGGUGUUGAACUGAAGUUCAAACUGCUAAUGAAAUUAAAUUAAAACACAACUUUUUAAAGUGAAUAAAAACUCAAAUAAAUUUGAGCAAUCAUACAUUUAAUUUAACUCAACCGUUUUACCACUAUCCGGUUAUAAGCUAAUAUAACCAAUCCAUGUACACAAUUAUAUUAUAGCAAUAACAUACUACAUAAUAUAUAUAUAGGUAGUUUUCGAUCUAAUAAGAAGCAUGAAUGAGAAUGCAUAGUAUUAAUAUUUGGAAAAAUGAAAGAAAAAAAGAGAGAGAUUAAAAUGCGUAUAGUAAUUAGGCAUAUUCUUCUUUGUUUACAAGAAAAAGUAUAGCAUAAAAAUAAAUAUAGUACAGGAGGAAUGAAUGAAUUAGGUAAAUAGAAAAAGAAUCAGCGAAUAGGAGCCUUAAUCCAGCCAUUAGCAAAAGCAAUGGCUAAAAUAAUAAAAGGAGUUGACAUACCAAAUAUGAUUAUGUAUGGAAGCGGUGUUGACAUUGGAUUUUCUCCUUCUCUUUCACCCGCUGUUUGCCAAUACCUACACACACGCACGCACCAUUUUUAUUUAUUAUUUCCUUCAAUUAAUUCCAAAACAAAAUUGUAUCCUGUAACACUUUAAACAACGUCCAAGCUGAAAAUAUUAUUAUUUAAAAAAAAAAAAAAAAAAAAAUUACUGUUCUGGUUCUUGUUCUUUGGUGAUAAACUUCUUCUUGUCUUCUUUCUUGAGCUCCCCUUCUCCUCCUCCUCCUCCUCCUGACAACCCACAAUUUUAAAUAAUUAAAUUAAAUUUAAAUAAACUAUAUAAAUAAUCAAGAAAAUGAAAAGGGUUAUAAAUAAACCUAAAUUGGCAGAGAUUGUGAAUUGCUGCUGUAGCCGCCUCCUUUUGUUUGUAUACUGAGCUGGUUGUAGAGGAGGCCGGGAAAAUAGCUUAUUAGUUGGCUUAUUAAAAGUUGGGAAAUUGAGGCCAGCAAAUGAGCCCAUUUCUGCUGCCAUUACACAAACUAUAAAGGAUUAUCAAAGAAACAAAGAUACAGAGAAAGAAUAUAUAGAGAGACACAACUCAGUCAGGGUUUUGGGUAUGUAUGGAUACAAAUAAUUUGAUUUUCAUAUAAUCUUAAGUGUGUGUGUGUGUGUGUGUGAUGUGAUCAUUCAUGAUUCUCUCUCUACUUUUACUACCUUAUCUAUAUGGAUAUAUAUGUUUUGCCUCAUUUGCAUCAACCCGUCCCUAAACUUUCGUCUUUUGACAAACACACCCCAAAUGUUUAACAUUUUCACAUCUAUACCCCUAAACUUUUUUUAUUUUUUUGGAUUAUACAGCCAUUUCAUCCAAUUUAACUUUUGGUUAAUGUCAAUUGUUUUUUUAGGUACGCAAUUCAAAUUUUAUAUUUCAAUUAAUCAGUAUUGUAUAUUUUUUUAACAGAUCAGUAUUACAUUUACAUAUAUGUCAUUUCGGUUUUUUGUGAAUGCAAUAACAAGAAAAACAAUUCUAGUACUAUUUACUAACAAGUGAAACUAUCACGAAAAAAAAAAAAAAACAUUAAUCAAAAGGUCUUUCAAUCCAUGUGUUCGGUUGUUGCCCUCUACUCCAAAUAUUGUUUUACUAUUCAUAAGUAUUGAAACAUGAUGUCCAUGAAGUUUUAAAACAUGUAAGAUUGAGAAAUUAAAUGUAAUAAUAAUAAUAAUAAUAAAUCUUUGUAGCUCCUAUGUUAAUUUUGUGAGUUAAUUUUAUUUAUUUGUAUGUAAUUUUUCUAUUAUACCCUUAAAACUAACGAACUACUAAUAGAAAAUUGAAUGGAGGGGAUCUGUGGUACAGGUUAAACGUUUGAGUAAGGUGGAUGUAAAUUACCAUAUAUUAUGUAAAUUUAUAUACACACACUGAUAGGGGUGUGAAUGAGCUGAGCUCAUCUCUUUUGGCAAGCUCGAGCUCGAGUUCGAUUCUAUUUUAUUGAGCUCGAGCUCGUCGAGUUCCUUCUGUUUUGACUCGAGCUCGAGCCCAAGCUCAUUUUGUUAUUUUUUUUUUAUAUAAAUAUUUUUGGGUAAAUUACAACCACCCCCGAGGUAUGGUCAAAUUACGAAAAAACCUCAUGUUUGGAUAAAUACAUCUACCCCUUAACUAUGAAUUUUCUUACAUCUCCACCCUUAUGGUGCCAAAUUCAAUAUAAUCAUUUACAUUCACAUCUUAUGAUCAUCUAACUUUAAAAUUGGAGCUCGAAAGGAAUAAAACGGGUCCAAAAGUGAGAAUAUUCCAUAUAAUCUAGAAGAUUCCACUAAAUUUGAUACCGCAAGGGUGGUCAUGUAAGAAGAUUUAUAGUUGAGGGGUGGUUGUAAUUACCCAAACAGAAGGGGAGUUUUCGUAAUAUGACCAUACCUUAGGGGUGGUUGUGAUUUACCCAAUAUUUUUUUAAAUAAAAAAAUAUUUAGAUACAAAAUAAACAAUAAAUUGUAAUUAUAUAUAUUUUUUAAUAUUAUUAUUUUAUUUUUAUUUAUUUCUUUAAUAUUUUAUAUUAUUAUGCAUUAUUUAAAUAAAAAAAUAAUAUCUAAAAAUAAAAUAAAAAUAAAAAUAAAAUAAGGCUCGCGAGCCGACGGGUGAGCUCACUAACAACUAAAAACUGGCUCGAACUCGAAAAGCUCGAAUUCAAUUUCGAAUUUUUUUCGAGCCGGCUCAUCAAGCUCUCGGCUCGACUCGUUUACCACCACUACACACACAUAUUAAUCUAUAUAUAAUAUAAAAAGAGGAUCUAUGCUCUAUAUGAAUGACAUGUGUCAAAUGUUGAUGUCAUACAUCCAAAUUGCUUAGUUGGAGUUCAAUUGAUGAGGUGUAAUUCUUAAUUGGUUAGUUGUCAUUUUUCAUUUGGUAUGUAUUUAAAUUCUUUCCUAUUUAACAUUUGUACACUCAUUUAAACAUUUACCACAUGUAUAUAUAUAUAUAUAUAUAUAUAUAUAUAUAUAUAUAUAUUAUUUUCCAAAUUUAAUAUUCUAUAAAUUCGAAAAAUAUUAUAUUAUUUAUAGUUUCAAUAUUCCAAAAUAUAUUUAUUGACUGUCUUUUUAAAAAAAAAUCUCAAUACUCAUUGUUUUACGAAUAUUCAAAUAAUUUUCCGAAAAAAUAUUUAUUGUAAUAUUCAAAUAUUAAAAUAAAGGAAUACAAUUAUAUAUUUUUUUUUAAUUUUCAAUAUUUUGGAAUAUUCGAAUAUCCAUUCAAUAAAUAAAAUUAUCAACAAAAUUGUUUUAUUUUUACAUUGUACUUAAUAAAUAUACAAUAAUUUUUGUUAAUAAUAAUUUGAAAUUGCGUAUUUCUAUUAUAAGUUCAAUGAAUUAUAUACUUGAUUAAUUUAUAAAAUUUGUACUAUUUAAUUAAUACAUUAUUAUAUCUUGAAUUUUUUUAAUUUUCAGAUUUAAAAAAAAUAUAUAUAUAUAUAUAUAUAUAUAUAUAUAUAUAUAUAUAUAUAUAUAUAUAUUAAGUUCGAAAAAUAUUAUCUUUUUAGUAUUUUAUAUUUUUCGAAAUAUAUUUUCCACCUAUAUUUUUUUUUAAUUCAGAAAACUCAAUUCUUUAUGUAUGAAUAUUCAAUUAUUUUAUUUUAUGGAUAUAUUUUCAAUUUUUUUUUAGUAUUAUGUUUAUAUUUCGUACUUUUAUGUAUUUUUAGUAUUAAUUCCUUGAAAUAUAUUAUAUUUAUAGAAUUUGAAAAAAGUAAUUCGAAAAAUCAUGUUCUUAUGUAAUGAUUUGAUUUUAUUAUAUUCAAUUUUAUUUCCUAAUUAUCUUUCUUUAUUUGCAUUCAUUUGUGAAUAAAAUGAUUUUAUACCACAAGUCCGUGGGUGGUUUUGGUUUUUCUCCAUACAAUUGGUGGCUCGAAUUAUGCUUCAUCUUUUUUCUUUUAUUACCUAAUUGAUUUUUCAUCCACAGAUUCAUGCAUGCAAUUUUUCGUAUUGAUUUUCUACCAUAAAUAACAAUGUAUCAAGUUUUAAUUACACCUUUAACUCCAAAAUUUUCAACGCAAAAUAAUUGAUAAUACAUAUAUUAAUAUGUAAUCAAUUAAUAUCAAUAUAAAAUCUUGCUCAUUUAAUUACAAGAUUAUAAUCAAAUCAAUAAUAAUUUAUUUUCCUUUUUAAAUACGCCUAAAAAAAAUCCUCUUACAUCACAUCCAAAACAUUAUAAAUACGCCAUUUUUUUCUCACUCAGUUCCUCACAUCAUAACACUAUAUUGUUCGCAAGUUCGUUCGUUUUUUCUUUGUAUUGAUCAUCAUUUGUCUCUUUUUUAAUUCUGAUUUUUAGUUAAUAAGCCAAAAUCAGUUAUUGUAUAGACUUAGUUUUGUUUAUUUCAUUAUUUAUUUUGACGAUUGUUGAUAUUUUAUCAUGUUGUUGUUCUUUCAUUAUACAUGUAUAAUGUAAUAUAUCUUUUAUUUUAACGUUAAACCAUUAAAUUUUUUAUUGUUUGAUUGUAGUUGCUUUCAAUAUUAACUAAAAAAAAUUGCAUUGCAGAUUUAUACGAUGACAUUUAACGAGGAAAUUCUCCUGUUGGUGAAGAACUAUCGUUGAUUGAUUGUUUAACAUGAUCGAUUCAACUCGAUUGGAUUAUGAACUGAUGAAUCACAAAGAUUUAAACGACUAACUCUGUAAAGGGUUGUUAGAAGCAAUAUUGAGUAGAUAAUUAAUCAAACGAAGAAUACGCAACAUGUCGUAUUGACUAUGUCUUUUAUCUAGAGAUCGCGUAGUAAGGUUUUCUAAUAAUUACGAUGGAAUAUAUUUUAUAAGUUGUGAUUUUAUACAAUAUACUCUACUGCAAUCUGUCAUUUUGAAUUUAUGGUGAAACAAAUCAGUUGUGUCUACAAAUAUAUGUCUAUAUUUUUGCCAUGUUUAUUCGAUUUCAUAUUGCCCUUUUUUUUCUUUUUUUUUGUUAAUAAUUUGAGUUUUUGCUAUUAUAUAGACAUUAAAAAAAUACUAAUUUGUGUGUUUCAAUAUUUUUGCUAUUAUACAAUUAUUUUUGUAAGUACAAUAGUAUUUUAUUUACAUUAUUAUGGUAAUAUUUAUAUUUAUUUUAAUCACAACAAAAUAUAUUUUUGGUAAAAUAUAAAUAGAUUUCUUUAAUCAUACUCCUUUGAAAUUAUUAAUAUCUUUAAAUUCAAAAUAUGCACAAGAGUACUUUAUUUAAAUUAUUAUGGCAAUAUUUGUAUUUAUUUUAAUCACCACAAAAAAAAAUUAUUAAAAUAUUAGAAGUUUUUUUUAGCCCUUAUUGUUAAUCAUUAUAUAAUGAUAUGGCCAACUUUCUUUCAUUAUAAAUUGAUAUGUUUCUCAUAAAUGAACAUAUAUAAUUAAAAUAAAUGGCAUUUAAAAUAUAUGUAGUAAUGUUUAUACGAGUGUGCAAAUAUUAAAUAGAAAAUAAGUUAAACACAUAUCAAAAUUAAAAGGUCAACUAAUCAAUUGAGGAAUAACAUCAUCAAUUGAACUUCAAUUAAGUAAUUUGGAGGUAUGACAUAAGCAUCUACCAUACUUCACAUAUCAUUCAUAAGGGACGCGACAUAAACCUUUUUUUAUAUUAUAUAUAUUUUAAUAAUAGUUCGAAUGUAAACAUUGUUAAUAGCAGGAAAAUCAAUUUUCACAUACAUUACUUUGUUACAUAAUGGAAAUAAAGUUUAUAAAUAUAUGGACGAUUUGUCAAGAUUUAUUUUUAUUUUAAUUCAUAUGUUAUGUAUCAGAGGAUUUAUUUAAUUAUAGUUUAAGAAUAUUAAAUUCAAUGUGUUUUCUUAAUAACUUAUUAUUUAGUUUUUUAUGCAUAAAAAAUAAGUAUAAAUAUUUCAAUGUAACUUAUUAGUAUAAAUAUUUGCAGGUUACUAUCAAUUUCCAGAAGGUGCUUACUAUUAGUAUUAGUAUUAGGUAUAAGAUUAGGAUUAGAAUCUGAUUAAUAUUGGUAUUAGGAUUAUAAUUAAGUUUCAGAUUAGAAUUAACAGCAACAUUAUAAUUAAGAUUAGGAUUAAAAUUAUUGGAAUUUGGAUAAGAAUUAGCAUUAGCAUGUUAGGAUUAAGACUAUAAUUAGUACAUUAGGAUUUACAUUAACUUAAUAUUAACAUUAGCAUUGUCGUAUUAGUAUUUAAUUAAGCAUUAAAAUAUUAGUAUUAAUAUUCGCGUUAGCAUUAAUAUUAGCAGUAGCAUUUAUCAUUAACAUUAGUAUUGCCAUUAACAUUACCAUUAGUACUAUAAUUAGUAUUUGGACUAUGAUUAUAUUAUGAUUAGCAUUCACAUUAGUAUUAGCGUUAACAUUAGCAUUAGCAUAUUAGAAUUAGCAUUAAUAUCUAGAUUAACAUUGGCAUAUUAGAAUUAGAAUUAACAUUAGCAUAUUAGAAUUAGAAUUAGCAUUAGUAUUAGUAUAAGGAUUAUUAUUAUAAUUAGUAUUAGAAAUACGAUUAUGAUUAGUACUAAUAUUAAGAUGAAGCUUAAGAUUAUGAUUUUGAUUAUAAUUAGUAUUAGAAAUACGAUUAUAAUUAAUACUAAUAUUAAGAUUAAGAUUAAGAUUAUGAUUAUGAUUAUAUUUAAGAUUAUAACUAUGAUUACGAUUAAUAUUAGCAUUAGAAUUAAGAUAAUGAUUAGGAUCAAGAUUAUGAUUAUUAGAAUUUGUACUACAAUUAGCAUUAGCAUUAGUAUAUUAGGAUUAUGAUUGUCAUUAACAUUGGCAUAUUAGAAUUAACAUUAGCUUAGUAUUAACAUUAGCAGGUAAUAUUAGUAUAGUAUUAGUAUAGUAUUAGUAUUAGUAUUAGUAUUAGUAUUAGUAUUAGUAUUAGUAUUAGUAUUAGUAUUAGUAUUAGUAUUUUUAUUUGUAUUAGUAUUAGUAUUAGUAUUAGUAUUAGUGUUAGUAUUAGUAUUAGUAUUAGUAUUAGUAUUAGUAUUAAUAUUAGUAUUAAUAUUAGUAUUAGUAUUAGUAUUAGUAUUAGUAUUAGUAUUAGUAUUAGUAUUAGUAUUAGUAUUAGUAUUAGAGUUAGUAUUAGUAUUGGCAUUAACAUUAGUAUUGGCAUUAGUAUUAUUAUUGGUAUUAGUAUUAGUAUUGGUAUUGGUAUUAGUAUUAGUAUUAGUAUUAAUAUUAGUAUUAGUAUUGGUAUUGGUAUUAGUAUUAGUAUUAGUAAUGUGUUAGUAUUAGUAUUAGUAUUAAUAUUAAUAUUAGUAUUAGUAUUAGUAUUAGUAUUAAGUUUCCGUUAAGGAUCCGAGUGUAUUGGAUGAGAUAGUUGCUUCAUUUGGGUGAGAUAAUAUAUCUUAUUUUUUAUAUCAUAAUUUUUGUAUUUUAUAUUUUCAUUUAUUAUUUAUUUUAUUUGUAUCAGUAUUUAAAUCGAAUGGAAUUGCUAUUGUUUAAAAUAAAUUAGAUUAUAUCAUAUAUAUAUCAACUAUUCAAAGUUUCCAUUCGAGUAUUUAUCUUAAACAUAUUUUCAGUUUUUAUAUUACCCUUACGCAUCGCAUUAACAUCCGCUUUUCUUUCAUAAAGGUGUUUGAUCUAUCUCAUCGACGUGUUUAGUAAUUAAAAAAAUUGUACUUAGAACUGAUCCCCGUGCAUCGCACGGGUGAGUUACUAGUAUAUAUAUAAAGAUAAUCUAGUGGUUGGCCCUCACAAUAUUUUAUGUUAACUCACCCAUUAUUAAUUGAUUUUUAGGGGCAAAGAGGGCAAGUUGCAACUAAAUUUAUGCAAUGUUGUUUUCUGCAAAUUAUAUUAUUAAUAUUGUUUUAGUAGUAGCCACCCCACUCCCACUCCAAACUAGUAAAAGUGAAGUGCUAAAGGUGAAGAAGAUGCCUUCCCAUCCCAUCUAUCCACUUUUUUACAUCUUCACUGUAACUACCUUCAACAAGAAUAUUCCUUAAAUGUAAUGCCCAUUUACUCCUGGAAUACAACAAUUACUCUUACAUUUUUUUUUUUUUUGUAUCAUUAAUUCAUUUUACCCACCCUUGUAAUUUUUUAUUUCUUUUUGUGUGUGUGUGGUGGGGACAAAGCUCAAGAAAUUGAACUCAACCCCCUUUCACGUGAUGCUGAUUUACAUAUUUGCCCUCCUCCGUUCAGUGAUUCUUCUUCGUCCUUGUUUUUUCAUGAAUUUUUGGCUUUCUGGGGGCUGUAUUUGUCUGCAUAUUCCUAGUUUUUUGACAAGCCUAAUUUGAAAUUUCACUUGUCCUUUUUCUUUCUUUCUUUAUUUUUUUUCUGAGGAAGCACCCACGCACGCACGCACCUUGUAAUAAUAUAUAUAUAUAUAUAUAUAUAUAUAUAUAUAUAUAUAUAUAUAUAUAUAUAUAUAUAUAUAUAUAUAUAUAUAUAUAGUGUUUUUUUUUUCUGUUGGUUUUUUAUAUUCUUUUAGCGAUGAUGAUGAUUGCUGUUGAAGGUGGAUAGAGGGUUUUAUGGAGCAAGUAAAGUAAUAUCAAGUUCACAUGUUUUGCUGAAAGGUUCUUUUUUUUUUUGCUCUGCUUUUUUUAUAUUACUACUUGUGCUGAUAAUCUGACUUGAAAGAUUGGAUCUUGGCAUUUACAAAUUGCCCAAUAAUAUUUAUUUCUUGCAGUUUUACUUUGUUUCUGUGAAAUCUUGGGUGUGGAUUUUAUAUAUAUAUUAGUGGAUAUAUAUAUUCAGAUUGCGUGAAGGAAGUGAUGUCAUCGAAAUCGACAACGAACAGGACCAACUGUUCCAAGAACAGCUCUGCUAGGUCAAAACAAGGUGCUCAUAUAGUAGCUCAAACACCAAUCGAUGCCAAGCUCCAUGGCGAUUACGAACUUUCCGACCAGCAAUUCGAUUACUCCACUUCUGUUAAUGUGUCCAAUGCCGUUUCCGACAUCCCUUCUUCAACGGUAUCGACGUACCUUCAGAAGAUGCAAAGGGGAAGCCUUAUUCAGCCUUUCGGCUGCUUAAUUGCAAUCGAAGUACACAAUUUCUGUGUGUUGGCACACAGUGAGAAUGCACCAGAAAUGCUGGACUUAGCUCCGCACGCAGUUCCAAGCAUCGAACAACAAGACGUUUUGACUUUUGGUACCGAUGUUAGGACACUCUUUCGACCCUCGGGUGCUGCGGCACUUCAAAAGGCGGCCAAUGCCGGGGAAGUUAAUAUGCUUAAUCCGAUAUUGGUCCACAGUAAAAACUCGGGCAAACCCUUUUACGCCAUUCUACACCACGUCGAUGUCGGGCUAGUCAUAGAUUUUGAACCCGUGAAUCCAGCCGAUUUGCCGGUGACAGCUGCCGGUGCGUUGAAAUCGUAUAAACUCGCGGCCAAAGCCAUUUCUAGACUACAAUCUCUGUCGAGCGGGAGUAUAUCGGUUUUGUGCGAUAUAUUGGUUAGAGAAGUGAUGGAUUUAACCGGUUACGACAGAGUGAUGGUUUAUAAGUUUCACGAUGAUGCGCACGGGGAAGUUGUUGCCGAGUGCUGCAGCCGGCCUGGUUUGGAGCCUUAUCUUGGCUUGCAUUAUCCCGCCACCGAUAUACCACAGGCAUCGAGAUUUCUGUUUAUGAAGAAUAAAGUUAGGAUGAUAUGCGAUUGCUUAGCACGACCCGUUAAAGUGAUUCAAGACACGGCAUUGGCUCAACCGCUGAGCCUUGCUGGAUCGACGUUAAGGUCUCCGCACGGGUGUCACGCACAUUACAUGGCGAACAUGGGAUCUAUUGCAUCGUUGGCCAUGUCUGUAAUGAUAAACGAGGAUGAUGGUGACGAUGAUGAUGCGACGGAUAGUAGUCAGCAGAAGAGAAGAAAGCUGUGGGGUUUAGUGGUUUGCCACCAUACGGAGCCGAGGUUCAUCCCGUUUCCGUUAAGGUACGCGUGUGAGUUUUUGGUUCAGGUUUUCAGUGGUCAAAUGAACAAGGAGGUUGAGUUGGCAGCUCAGCUGAAGGAGAAGCAUAUACUGCAAACUCAAACUGUGCUUUGCGAUAUGCUGCUGAGAGAUGCUCCGACGGGGAUUAUGACUCAGUCGCCUAAUGUGAUGGACCUCGUUAAGUGCGACGGAGCUGCACUUUACUACCGUAAAAAGUGCUCGUUGCUUGGGGUUACACCCACAGAGGCACAAGUUGAAGAUAUUGCUAAAUGGCUUGUCGAAUGCCAUGGUGGCAGUACGGGAUUGAGUACAGACAGCCUUAUGGAAGCAGGAUAUGCGGAAGCUUCCGCUCUCGGGGAUGCCGUUUGCGGAAUGGCUGCAGUGAAGAUUACUUCCGGUGGUUUCUUGUUCUGGUUCCGUUCGAACACGGCAAAGGAGAUUAAGUGGGGUGGUGCGAAACACGACCCUGCCGACAAAGACGAUUCGAGAAAGAUGCACCCGAGGUCGUCGUUUAAAGCCUUUCUCGAGGUGGUUAAGAGGAGAAGCUUACCGUGGGAAGAUGUGGAGAUGGAUGCAAUUCAUUCGCUUCAGCUGAUAUUGAGAGGCUCUUUGAAAGACGAGAUAGCCGAAGAAGAUUCCAAAAUGAUUGUGAGAGUCGAGACGAAGGUGGAUGAACUGCGCGUCGUGACUAAUGAAAUGGUUAGACUGAUUGAAACUGCAUCGGUACCUAUUUUGGCUGUGGAUUCGUCUGGUAUCGUCAAUGGCUGGAAUACAAAGGUGGCCGAACUUACGGGUCUGGAUUUACAGCAAGCUCUCGGUACACCAUUUGUUGAUCUCGUAGUCGAUGAUGCAGCUCCCAGAAUGAAUGAUAUUCUCUCUCUAGCUUUGCAAGGUUAUAUAAACUCUUACUUACUCUGUCUUUCAGACCCUUGCUUUGUAAGUUAUGUUAUCGUAAAAUAAUCGACUAUUAAUUGCAGGCAAGGAAGAGAAGAACGUAGAAAUCAGACUGAAGACGUUCGGCGGUCAGGAGAACAACGGUCCGAUAAUCUUGGUUGCUAAUGCAUGUUGCAGUCGAGAUGUGAACGAAAAUAUAGUUGGCGUUUGCUUUGUCGGGCAAGAUGUUACUGCCCAAACUAUGGUGUUGGACAAAUACAAUCGUAGAUUCGUUGAGAGGUCAGCUAUCAUGUGGAACCCGAGUCCGCUAAUUCCUCCUAUUUUUAUGAUGGAUGAGUUCGGCAAGUGCGUCGAAUGGAACGACGCAAUGCAAAAACUGUCGGGCCUGAAGAAGGAACAAGCCGUUCAACAAAUGCUUCUCGGUGAGGUCUUCACGGUUCACUCAAACGGCUGCAGAGUCAAAGACGAAGACACGCUAACAAAGCUCAGAAUAUUACUUAAUAACGUCAUUUCUGGUCAAGAUUCGGAUAAAUUCGUCUUUGGGUUUUUCGAUCGGCAGCAAAAAUACGUACAAGCGUUGAUUUCGGCAAACAAGAGGACUGAUUCCGAAGGCAAAAUCACCGGAGUUUUGUGCUUUCUUCACGUUGCUAGUCCAGAACUUCAACAUGCAAUGAAGGUGCAAAAGAUAACCGAGCGAGCGGCGGCAAAUACCCAAACAAAGUUGGCUUAUAUUCGGAGCGAACUGAGAAAUCCGUUGAGUGGAAUUAACUGUGUCCAGAAAAUGAUGAAAUCCUCGAAUUUGAGCAAAGAACAGAAGCAGCUUUUAAAGACUAGUGAAUUGUGUCGAAAUCAAUUGGCUAAAAUCGUUGGUGAUACUGAUAUCGAAGCCAUCGAGGAAAGGUAUGAUUUAUAGCUACUAAUAAUCAAUUUAGUGAAAUAAUCAAUUUCGAUGUUUUGUACGUAUUUGUUUGCUCACAUCAAAUAAACAAGAGUUAAUGGAUCGGAAGUCUAAUUUUGCAGUUAUGUGGAGAUGAGCUCUGAGGAAUUUAGUGUUGGGGAAGCUUUACGAGUGGUGAUGAAUCAAGUUACGAUUCUGAGUCGGGAGAGAGACGUGAAAAUCAUAUACGAUAUACCCGAUGAAGUGUCUUGUAUGCGCCUAUACGGUGAUAUAUUGAGGCUGCAACAACUUCUUUCCGACUUUUUAGCUACCGCGCUCAUGUUCACUCCGCCUUUUCAAGAAUCGUCUAUUUAUUUCUGUAUAAUUCCCAGAAAGGAGAGUAUAGGGACACAGAUGCAUGUUGUCCAUUUCGAAUUCCGGUUAGUAUGUAUGAUUACGUACAUUGAAAUAAUUUGUGUUUGUACGACUUUUUUCGACUUUAAAAAAAAAAUCUGUGUUUUUGUGGUGGUGACAGGAUUAGUCAUCCAACGCCGGGGGUUCCGGAAGAGUUGAUACAAGAGAUGUUUUGUUACAACAAUAAUGUAUCGAGAGAAGGACUCGGGCUAUACAUGAGUCAAAAGCUCGUCAAAACUAUGAACGGCACCGUACAAUACCUUAGGGAAUCAGAAAGAGCAUCUUUCGUCAUCCUACUACAAUUUCCGUUUGCAAACAAUAUAGUAGUAGGAAGCUAAUAAUGCUGAUGAUUGAAUAAUAAUAAUAGUACAUUCUGACAGAACACCUUUGAUACAUAUAUAUCUGUAUAUGUAUAGGCGCGCCUGUAAAUGAAAUAAAUAUAUAUUUGCCGCAAAGGUACGAACAUUAGGAAUUAUAUCACAGGUCACUGAAUAGAGAUGACGACGAUGAUUUAAAAAAUAGUUAUAUGUGAAUAUAUUGUCUCCAGCUUCUUUCUUUGGGUUUACGGCAUCAUCGUUUGCAGCUGCGUCAAAACACACUAUUGCCCAGGUAUGUAUAUCUUUCCAUCUUUGGCGUUAAAUAAGCGUUAAUUCUGAAAUACUAGUGACUUAAAAAUCGGUUGCGAAAUCACAGUUCAAAUGUCGUCUGCUGCUGUAUACUUCAUUAACAAGGAUUUCAUCGCGAAAUUAAUUAAUCUUUGAUUUAUUUUGGGUUGCAGGAAUUGAUGGCUUCAUUAACAUGCACUACAUGGAAGAUCCUCUAAGAUUAGAGGGCUCUGUUACACACAUUUUCCUUCAUUUUAUAUUUUGAUGAAAUGAGAUUUUAAUGAUACUUUUGUAACAUCAUCGAUUGCUAUUAUUUUUUAUGAAAAAAACUUUCUUCUUUCAGGAAUUUUUAAAAAUUAUAUCUUUAUAUGAAAUAUAUUUUUCAAAAAUUGUUCCUCAAAGCAAGAAAGGAAAAUUUUAAAUUUAGCAACUAAAAAAUUAUAUGGCAUCUUAUCUCGACUUUUAUUUGAUGCAAUAUGAAUUACGAUCAAGGAUGUACAAAGCGGAAAUUGGGUCGGAUGCGGUUAGGCAUCACCUUAAGAUUAGUCGGCGCGGUGGUGAUUAAUUAUCGGAAAUAAAUUCGUGUUUCAAAUUUAAUGUAAUAUAUUUCUAGAUAUUAUUUGUAGAUUCUCAAAAUAUAUAUACAAAUAUAUUUAAUUAAAUAUAUCCACAUCAUUUAUAUAUCAUAAUCACAUAACAAAACUUUAACAAUAAUAAGAUCAUAAUAUAAUAAAAAUACUUACAAAAUACAAAUAAAACGAAAAACUUCUGCAUUAAAAAAUUAUGCGAAUAAUGAAAGCAUAUGUUUUAGGUUCUUGAAAAAUGACAAUUAACAUAAACAAAACGAAACAUAUACUCUUCUUUUUUUUUUUUUUUUUUAUUAAAAGUCCAACUUUUUUUUUUGGUAAUUAAAAAAAAACGAGUUUUGACCAAUUUUUUGAUCCGCCUCGAAGGUUGACGGCCUAGGACCGCCUCACAAAUUAAAACCGAAUUUUCAAAUCUUUAUAAAAAUCAUAAAUAUAUUAGACCGGCUUCUCUCGAAGAUCUAUUAAUCAGUGGCCUCGACCGAUUUUUAGAACAUUGUGAUUACCAUACGAUCAGUGGCGGAUCUAGCUAUGGUCUACUGCACACUCUUGAUUUUAAAGAUAUAGUACUAUUAUACAUGUGUUGACAGAAAAAAUAGGUGGUUGAGGUGGUAAAGGUAUGCCUCCUUUUAUGAGUAGGUUCCAGUUCGAACUCUACCCCUUUCAAUAUUUGAUUUCUUUUCCAAAUCUUAACAUUUUUCACCUUUUUGUUCCACUAUUUUGAUUUUUUUCCAAAUCUUAACAUUUUUCACCUUUUUGUUCCACUAUUUUGAUUUUUUUUCACCUUUUUUCUGAAUAAAUAUUUACACAACCCCUUGGCAAAAAUCCUGGAUCCGCCACUGCAUGAGUAGGUUCCGGUUCGAACUCUACCCCUUUCAAUAUUUGAUUUCUUUUCCAAAUCUUAACACUCUACCCCUUUCAAUAUUUGAUUUCUUUUCCAAAUCUUAACAUUUUUCACCUUUUUGUUCCACUAUUUUGAUUUUUUUCCAAAUCUUAACAUUUUUCACCUUUUUGUUCCACUAUUUUGAUUUUUUUUCACCUUUUUUCUGAAUAAAUAUUUACACAACCCCUUGGCAAAAAUCCUGGAUCCGCCACUGCAUACGAUGUACCUGGAUUCAAAUAAAUAUAUUUCUUCACGUAGAGGUUGUAUUACGAAAACAAAAAAAUAUUGGGGUGAAAAUGUAAAAUGCCCCUUUUUGGGAAAAAAAUACCAAAACUCAACAACAUAAAUUGGGACAGCGAAGCAACAUUAACCGAUACUUUUUGCCGCUUUAAUAUUGUUUGUCGGAGUAAAUGGAUUCUCUGUAUAAGAAAUUGGAAUCCUGAAAACCUAAUUAUUUGUUCAAAUUUUGAUUUGCUCAGCGAAUGGGUCGUUCACGCGCUGCCUCUCAAGCCGCCGUCGAUGAUCCUGGACAGAGGUUCGACCAGUUUCUUCUUCCUCAUUUUUCAAAUUUAGGGUUUUUAAUUUUUAAUUUUUUAAUUUCGAUAAUCUGCCGCGCCAUUGAAUUUUAUAUUGAAUUCGAGUUGGUUAGGCUCUAAAAUGAAUUCAAUUACAGGGCUUUGCCAUUUCAGCCUGGACUCUGUUUUGAGCUUGUUAAGAAAACAAGUGUAUGCAUUGAGCGUGAAAUUAGGCUUUCUUUUUGAGCUGAUUGUAGUUGUAAGCCUUAAUGAUCUUGGAUUAGGGAGUGGCUCAGAUGAAUUAGUAUGUGAAUUCCCAGUACUUGCUAGGCAUACUUAUUUUUGGCUCGAGCAACUUGAUGUUGAAUUCUUGGACAACUAUAACAUGUGGCCGCGUAAUCACACGCUCACACUUAAAUGCACUCGUUCAUUUAUGUACAUGUCUAUUUAAAAAACAAUUUAGCUAAAUGCUGUGUCUCUUUAGUCUUUAUGUCGUUGUUUCCAUGUUAUUGACCUUCAAGGUUUAUUUUCCAAAGUUAUGUGUUUGUUCAUAAAUGUAUGCAGAUAUUAUUUUAUGGAUAAUAUUACACAUUUAUUGAUACGAUACUGUAUAAAUUGAAAUUUCAGCCGGUCAAAGAGAAAACGCACAACACAGAAUGUGGAUAAUACUGACAGUGCGACUCCUGGUAUGGAUAUAACUUUGAACUUAUUCUCAAUUAUCCGAACAACUUUUUGUCCUAGGCUUUUCUUACAUGCAGUUAAUUUGUAUAUGAAGAGUUCCCGGGAAUAACUGAUGGAAAGAAGGCGUUGUACCAUUGUAACUACUGCAACAAAGACAUUUCGGGAAAGAUUAGGAUCAAGUGUGUAGUAUGUUCUGAUUUUGACCUCUGUAUUGAGUGUUUUUCUGUCGGAGCUGAGGUGUACCCUCAUAAAAGCAACCAUCCUUACAGAGUCAUGGUCAGUUAAAUUUGAAGCCUCAUACUCUUAUUUCUGUUAUUUUAUUAUUAUGUACAAGAUCUGAAUGAUUUUUCAUCUGCAAAAGUUAUGUAUACGUUUUUUGUGCCUGCAUAAAGUCCCUUCAUUUCAUGUUGUUGGAUACAUUUGCAAGCAUUGGACAUUGCUUGUGAACUAUGUCUUCAUAUCUGUGUAGUUAGAACUUAGAAACAAAAUAUGGAGCGAAUGUUUAGUUUAUUUGCUUGUUCUAGGGAAGUGUACAAGGGAAUAUGAUGUAUAUCUGCUUUAUUUGGCUGUGUGUUCUGAAGUGCAAUGACUACUAUGUUUUCAAAUAUUUAAAUUUAGGGAGAAGAGAAAAUUGUUUUAGAGGAAAAUAAAUGUAAGGAAAAAAGUGUAUAGAUAUUUGGCUGUAAUUUUGGGAGAAUAAAAAUGAAAUGAAUAUGAAAAAAAUGGCCUGAGUUAUUGGCCAAAUAAUUGGAGUUAUUUCAACGAUUUGGUAGAAGUGGAGUCUAGAUCAAUAUGGCCGUGUUGUGUGAAUGAGAAAGUGAACUUUCUUAUAUAUUAUGCCAAUGGGGAUGUGAGAUGCAACAUGAAACAGAAGAAUAAUGACUGCGGAUGGAGAGAUUAUUUAUUAUUGCAAUGAUUCCAAGUUUAUCUUUUCUUUUCUUUUUUCCUUUUAAUUUUAUUUUUGCUCUUGUAACACCAUGCUUUGUCCCUUGAUUCUUAUUUGCUGUUUUUAUGGCAACAAGGAGCAAAACAUGUUUCGUAGUACCGAGAAUAUUAGACCUAAACAUGAAAUCUGUUUCAAUUCAUGAUCUGUAAAACAAAUGCUAUUUCCUUUCCCAAUUCGUUUGACCUUUCUUUGAUCAAGAGAAAUGUUUGGAUGUCCCAUGGUUUAAUAGUUCUAUCACAAUUUUUGUGCUCUCCUUUAUUUCCUGUCAACAAACAUUUUUCUUACAAAGAACGCUGACUAUAUGCAUCACUUUUGAAAUUUUGUACCUUUCUGAAGAACUACUAUAAUAGAGGCCAAAUUCCAUUCGAUUGACAUGACCAUGGCCUAUUAUCUGAUGUCUGAUAUUAAACAUUUGGGCAUAGGAUAUCUUCAUUUCUAAAGAGGGGCAAUUAUUCCAAAUUUGUAUUGUAAACCAUCUUUGUUUUGUAUUUGUCCACAUUUUUCUUAAUACUGCUUGGACGACAGAGUUUUACAACUAGUAUGGGUUAACCAUUUUUCUUGCUACUACUUUUUGUCAUUUCUAUUUCAACAGGACAACCUUGCAUUUCCGCUUAUAUGUCCUGACUGGAAUGCUGAUGAGGAGAUGUUACUUCUAGAGGUGCGUUUCAUUCUCUGUUUAAGUGAAAAACUCUUUUUUUUGGUAACUUACGUGUAAUAUUGAAUUUGAAGUUCUACAAUGGAGGUCCUUUUCAAAUUAAGCUCAUAAGCCUUAUCCAAUUUUUUUUAUUUUUUUUUGUAAUUCAUCUAUCAAUCCUCAAUAUGGUUACUGCUUACCAGCAUAUUAUCGGCAACCCAUUUCUGUUUCUGCAUUUUGAAAGGCUAUAUAUCUUUUGCAGGGUCUUGAAAUGUAUGGGUUAGGGAAUUGGAAUGAAGUUGCAGAACAUGUUGGAACAAAAAGUAAAUUACAAUGUAUUGACCAUUAUGACAAAGUUUUUAUGAAAUCCUCAUGCUUUCCUCUUCCGGUAUGUCAUAUUAUUCUACAAACUUAACUAUUUUUCCGUAGGGUUUAGUUUGAAACGUUAGCUUAUCAUGCUGGUAUCGUAGGACAUGUCUCAUGUGAUGGGCAAGAGUAGAGAGGAACUGCUUGCUAUGGCCAAAGAACAUGGUGAAACAAAAGAAGGUAUUUGGUUGGAUAUAUGUUACUUCUCCUUUUCUAUUAAUUGUUUGCUAAUUGUAGAAGAAAAACUUGCAAAAGGUGAAAUUAUGGUGUGUACUAGUUAUUUUUUGCAUUACACUACAACUGGCACUUUGUUUUUAUGGCUGUCUCUUACUGCAAGUGUGCUACUUCUACUCCUGUUAAUUUGUAAUAAUGGUUGCCCUACCCAGUGCUUGCUAACGUUAAUCUAUUGCAUUAUUACUUAUAGCCAACAAUUAUCAACUUUAAUAUCUGGUUUAUGUAUAGUUUAAUUCAUAGUUCCAGCUGCCUUUGAUUAUUAAACCUUAUUACCGCAGGAGCUACGACUUUUGGAGAAGUUGAUGGGAAAGAACAGUCUCCAUUCUCUGCAAGAAUCAAGUAUACUUGGACAAAUGUUUUGAGUAUUUCCUAAUUGGACCUCAUUGGUAGUCAUUCUGAUUCCGAUUGUUUUGUGUGGUCAGGACGGAAGAUCAAAGAAAAGAAGGUCAAUCAGGACGCUCCUCAAGCAUUUCUUCUGGUACAGUAGCUAGGCCUUAUUGUACUGUUUUUAACUAGAAAUUUCACAUAUGCAAGCACAAUUUUUUUUUUUUGUAUUAUUCCUUAACGAUGAAUGUAAUGGUUGCACACUGUGACCUAUCAUCUCUCUCAGAGGUAGACACUAUUGGAGGUUCUGGUUGUGGUAAAAUGUCAGCGGGAGCCACUAAGAGGAUGUCCAGCGAAGUCCCGAGCAAUGAUGCACCACCCGAUAGGGUUAAAGUUGAAGGUGUGCAUUAUUCUUCCAAUAAAGUAUUGCGGUGGUUACUUUUAUUAGUGCCACGCUGCCAUCUAAAUCCAUUGAUUGUGUUUAAUAUGUUACUUAUUCUACAGUAUGUUUUGUGCCUAGUAUAAGUUGCUAAUCGUCCUCGUGCAAACUAGCUGCAAAUGUACAUUUUCUGUUUGGGUGGUUCUGCAGUCAAUUUGACGAGUUAUUUAUUUAUGGGUUGACCCUUUUAUGGAAAUUGAGAUGAGUUAGUGCACAAACAAUUCCAACCGAACAUUCUUGUGUGUUCUAGUUUUAGUUUAAGGAAAGCUGUUCACCUGUUUGCCAGUUAAUACUCGUCUUCCGCUGUUACUUUAUUUGGCUCGUCUAAAUCCAACUAGGAAAUCUAGUUUUGAGCCCAACGGAGUAGAAGAUAAUUGUGCAUUUGCUGUUUAUAUCUACAGUAGAGCCUCAAUAAUUUAAUACUCGGUCAAUUAAUAACAUCCUUAAAUUACAUUUUUCGUGAAUUCCUACUUAGGGACCGCAUGCUAAACUAUAAUUUGCUAAGUUUAUACGAUAACAAAAAUGAGAAUUCAUAUAGAACCCAUUCAAUAUAUAUUUUAACAAUACCUUAAAAUACAGGAAUGUAUCUUUAGUAUAUAGCACAGUUAGGAUUAAUUUACAAACUUCUAGUUACACUAAAUGGAAAGAUUUGAACGAAGGAUUCGAAACCCAUUCUACAUGUUUCGGUUGAUUCAUUUGACAAUGAAUUUCAAAUUCUUAGCAGUUAUUUUAGGUUAUAUUUUGAGUUGUGGAUUUCAAAUCUAAAUGCACUCUCAUAAAAAAUCAGUUGUAAAACAAAAUUCAUGUCAUCUUGAAUUCAUCUUUGAUUUUCCUUUCAUAUUGAGAAUUUCUGGUUUGGUUUCUACUGUGCGUAGCAAAAAAAUAUUCAAUAUCAUCACUCUUUAGAAGUUUGCCUCUAGAAGGGUUUUUUUGGUCAAUAGAUCAUAUUUGACUUCAUUAACUUUAUCGAUUCCCACAACGCUCUCAAUUAUUUGCUCGUUAGUUAUUUUCUGCAAUUUUGAGAGAAUUCAUUCUAUGAUGAUAACUCAGCACUUUGAUUAAAUUUUACAGAAUAUUGAGUGCAUUGACUUCAGUUCAUUCUAAACUUGAAAAUUUUCAGAGUAUUGAGUGCAUUGACUUAAAAUUUCAAGUUUAGCACAACUUUUGAAAUUUGAUUUUGAAAUAGCGAAUCAAAAAGGUAAUUUGAAAACGAUUUUAACAAAAUGUCAUGCUCGAAUGCUAUAUCUUUGAUUUAAUUUCUAUAAUUUUUUGAUUAAAAAAUUCCAUUUACUUUUGGAUGGGCAAUUCCUCUUAAAUUCUCAGUAGAAGUUCAAAAGAAAUGUUAAUAGUCUAAUAGUUGUGAUACACCCUAUGUAACUGACCGUCAUUGCUGCUUCAAAACAACUUGCAAUCAUUGAGUUCUAUAUUGUAAAUUUCGAUGAAAACUGUGAUGGAAGAAACUUUUAGUAUUUAUUUACAAAAAGAACAAAAAAGCUAAUAAUGUGAAGUUGAUAACUCUAUGUAAUGACUUAAGUGAGGUACUGAUUAGUUUGAUGUAAAUCUUGAAAGACAUCAUGCUGGAAUGAGUAUAUAUUUGUAUUUAAGAAGUUUAUUGGUGUCACUAUGUUCUAAAUUUAUCUCUUUUCAAUUUUUAGAUGUUUCAAAAUUAGGUUCUAUGUUCUAAAAUCAAACUUUUUCCCUCAGAAACUCUGCUGCCAUUUAAGAUGUGAACAACUAACUAGUUAUAGUUAUCCCUUUUUAGGACAGUAGUAAUGAAUGUCGCAAAAAUCUCAUUUCCUCAACUCACAUCUGGAUCUCAGAGUUGAGUCGAAUGGGAGCUAUAAUAUUGGGCUGAUAUGCAACGUACGUGUAUGCUUUGGUAGUAUCACCAAUAAGUUUGCUGUUUAGACUUAGUAAUGUGACAAUCUUGAGCCAUGUUUUCGAGGGGUCACUUAUUGAAAUUCUGUAUAAUAUCAUCAAUAGGAUCACUGUUCAUAUUUGACUACAGAGCAGGAAUCUUAGCACAAUAAUUAUGUUAGGACUUUUCACAAGUUUUAAUUUAUAUAAUGUGAUGGUAUCAAAUUCUUAAACAGCACAUUUGUUAUGUCUCCAGAGUUUCACUCUGAUAGAAGUAUUGGAGAGAAGAAACCUAGGACAUCAGGCGAUGAGGGUGUUUCUAUGAAAGAAUUAAGUGGAUAUAAUUCCAAGAGGCAAGAGUUUGAAGUUGAGUAUGACAACGAUGCUGAGCAGUUACUUGCUGACAUGGAAUUCAAGGAGACGGAUACUGAAACUGAGCGUGAACUGAAACUAAGAGUUCUGCAUAUAUACUUGAAAAGGUAAAUUCUACUACCUCCUUCUCAUUUUGGGUUUUGUUCUCUAUAAUGAAGGAUUUGUUGUUGCACAGUUAGUGCGUUAUAAAGGAAAUCUUGAAUUAUCUAAUGUACAACGUUAUGAAAUGUUUAUGAUUUGUUGUUGCACAACAACACCUCUGGCUGCUUUUGUUGAUGCAUAGUUUCACAUUCAGAUGGUGAUGUUGCAUUGUUGCGUAUAGAUAUUUAUUUGUAGUCUUCGGAUACUUAUUGAGAUUUGAUGAUUAUUUAUUGGAGUAGUGAUCCAUGUUAGCUCAAAUGAGAACACAACUUUCAGUAUAAGACGUGCUUUGAUUCUUAAUGUGGUGCAGUCCCUUUGUCAUUGUCCUUUUCUUUUCUUUGUCCUCAUACGAAUCUAAAAAUGUUGCAGGCUUGAUGAAAGAAAACGAAGGAAAGACUUCAUAUUGGAAAGAAAUCUUCUAUAUCCUGACCCUUUCGAGAAGGACCUUACCUCGGAAGAGAAAGAAUUGUGCCGUCGGUACAGGGUAUUCAUGCGAUUUCAUUCUAAAAAGGAACAUGAUGAGUUGCUCAAGAGUGUUGUCGAGGAGCAGCGAAUUUUGAAAAGAAUACAAAACCUUCAGGUAUGAUGUACAGUGUACACUGUUAUGUUGUUCCCUAAUUUUCACCUGUAUCAGCAUCAUGCUUGCCGUAAUAUGAUAUCUGUGGCAAAGAGGUAUUUUUUUAUGAUAACCAACUCAAGAAGGCUUGCUUGUUGAAUUGGAUGCUUAAUUUUCCGAUAAAAUUCUGGUCUGGUGCAGGAAGCUCGAGCUGCUGGUUGUCGUACGUCGUCAGAAGCUGAGAGAUAUAUUGAACAGAAAAUGAAGAGGGAGGUUGAGCUUGAGGAAAGUGCCCGUCGAGUGAAAGAAAGUUCUCAGGCUGGUCCCAGUGGAAAAUACUUGCAAAGAAUGAAUAAUCAUCAUAAUAAUAAUACGAGCCCAAGGGUAGGUAACAAGAGCCCAUCGGUCUUAGAUCCUGGUGGAAUGGACUCUUCAUCAAACACUAAACAAGGAGGACUCGCUGCUUCCGACAUACUCUCCGAUAACUGGGAUGUCACUGGAUUUUUAGGAGCUGAUAUACUCUCCCAAGCUGUAAGAUUUUUCUUAUGCACCUUUACUUUCUCACCACUUCCCGUAACAUUUAGUCAUUCUCGUGAUUUCUAUCCAAGAGUCACUUAUGAAAUUUCCAAACAUACCUUUUUUUUUUUUCUAAAAGAAAGAAUUGAAGCCAAAUAGCUAUCGAACCCCCUGACUUUGGUUUGUGUCCCAAAAUGAACAGAUGCUUCAAAUAUCUCGAUUAAUUUUAUUUGCUUUUGUAUAUAUCUCUUUUGUAUAAGUACAGUUGUGUGUUGAAUUCUGACCGAACAUCUCUUGUGAAUCGGACACAUAACAGGAGAAACAGCUAUGCGGGGAGAUGAGAAUCCUACCAGCACAUUACCUCAAUAUGCUGCAAACAAUGUCAAUGGGAAUUUUAAAUGGAAACGUGACUAAGAAAUCUGAUGCACAUGGCCUAUUUAACGUUGAUCCAGGAAAGGUCGAUAAAGUAUACGAUAUGCUUAUAAGGAAAGGUAUUGCUCAAACAUGACAGCCAUCUAUCUAUUUAUCUUUCGAUUCUCCGGGUAAGAGGCGAGUUCCCCUCAAUGCUGCGUGCACACUGGACCAUAGUGAACUGGUUUUCAUCCUUAUGAUUUGCAUUAAUCGGUCCGAUAUGUAGUUAUAACAGAUAAUUAUUCUCUCUGUAGUAACUUAUUUUUCAAACUAUUGUUUUUCAGUGUUUUGAACUGAUAAUAAUCUGUAGGUAAUAAUUUUGCCAAAUCCCGUAUGAGGAAAUGGAAAUAAUCACGAAUGUGUACGAUUAUGUUUUUGAGUGAUGUAAAAAUUUGAAAGAUGAAGUGGUAGGGGAUAAGUUUAAUGUUAUUGUGUUGGUCUAAACUUUCUUGUGUAUCGCACUAUUUUCGAGAUUCCUUAAAUACUUGAUCUCAGUCAUUCUUUUUUGUGCUUAUCUAGUGACUUGUGUAGUACGGACAUGAAAUCAGUGCGGGAAAAUAGGGAAACGGAUACGUGGAAACGGCAUAUCUAAAAAAUAGGGAUAUAGGAGUUUGGGGGAAACGUGUCAAUAUUAAAAGUAUAGGGAUAAGUCAGUUUUUUAUAUAAUUUCAUGGGAAAAUAUUCAAAAUAAAUUUUAUUAUCAACUUUCAAUUUGUAAUUGAUCGUUAGACUAUGUAAAUAAUUAGUGAAUCAACUAAAUAAAAUUUUAAAAUUUGUUAUCCAAAUAUAUUUUUAACUUUUUAGAAAUUAUAAAAUGGCUCAUAAAGUGUCCGACUAGUAUACUUAAGUAUUAUCCGACACAAAACGUGUCCGAACUGUAGAAAUAUUAAGAGGUUGAAGUAUCCAUGUUAUUGAAGACGGUCAAAUUUUAUUAUAUUAUGUGAAUUUAAUUCGUAGAUAAAUAUUGAAUAUGUAUUAUUAGCUAAUAUGAUUAUUUCUCCUCUUCCAAGUAGGGGUGUAAACGAGCCGAGCCGACUCGUGAGCUCGAAGAGCCGGCUCGUAAAAAGCUCGAACUCGAACUCGAGAUUUUCGAGCUCGAGCUCGAGCUCGCGAGCUCGAGCUUUCUGAUGAGCCGAGCUCGAGCCGGUUUUCAGUUGUUCAUGAGCUCGCGAGCCGGAUUUAUUAUUAUUUUUUUAUUAUUUUUUUUAUUUUUUAUAUGUUAUUUUUAUUUAAAUAAUGUAUAAUAAUGUAAAAUAUUAUAGAAAUAAAUACAAAUAUUAAAAAUAUAUAUAAUUACAAUUUAGUUUUUAUUUUUUAUUUUUUAAAAUAAUUUUUAAUAAUAAAAUAAUAAUUAAAAAAAUAUUUAAAAAAAAAAAAAAAAAAAAAAAAAAGACAAUGGGCUCGAGCUCGAGCUCGACACAACUGACACGAGCUCGAGCUCGAGCCAAAAAAAGAGGAGCUAGCUCGAAAAUCCCGAGCUCGAGUUCGAGCUUUUUUCGAGCCGGCUCGUCGAGUUCGCGAGCCGGCUCGGCUCGUUUACCACCCCUAUAUACUGCUGAUAUGGACGAUUAAUCCACGUGGCCACUCACAUGUAUGUUGCUGAUAUGCUUCGUGAAACUAACUCAUAUUAAUUCAAAUUACCCAUGCAUUGGCACCCAACAAAACUCAUGAUCUCUAAACUUUGCUAGAGAGAACGAGCCACCACCAUGCAAGAGACCCAUGCCCACGUCAUUAGGAGGGAAUUCUCAAAAUUGUCUGUGAACGAUACAAUUGUCAGAUGAUCGAAUAUUUAUUUCGAUUUUGCAUAAAAUUUCCAUAUUUGAACUCAAAACAUACAAUGAAAUAAAGUUUUGCAAUAUGUGCGCGUACACACUUCAUAAUUAUAUUAAUGAAUUUAGAGGACAGGCAACUAUAUCUAUCUCUCUUUUAGUUGUUUCCGGUCCAAUAUUUUUUCUAUUCAAUAUUAUUAAAGACGAUUGGAGAUUGCAUCAAUCAAAAAUAAGUUCAAAUAAUAUAUGGAUUAAUAUCUCCUAGACCGGCCAUGACAAUUUUUUUUUUGUUUAAAUGAUUAGUUAACGUUAGAUGGGUUUUGUUCCAAUAUGGAGAUAAUGACUAAUAAGGGUAGGCAAUCUAAAUUAAAGUUUACAGAAUUGCAAAUCGUGCAAAUUCUCAAUAUGUAACAAAUCAAAGAAUUCUUGUUGAGUAGCUUAACAUAUUAUAAAUUUCAUUCAACAAAUCCAAAUAUAUUAAUUCAAAGUAGAAAUUGCAUUGCAUCAGAUUUGUAUGAUGGAAAAAAAUUGUCUAUUGGGUAUUAUCGAGGCUAUUUACGAGUCCAAAGAGAUGUGAUAUUGAAGAAAUUAGCAAUUUGGAAAAGAAGGCUUAUGUUCUAAAGACGAUGCAAUCUGAAAUCGAAGAGGGGUGGAUUCUUACGUAUCAUGUGUGAAGCACAUGUUAUUUUCCGUCCAAACUAACCAGCCAAAUUGGCGGAGGAACGAAAAUAGCAGAAAAAUGGCAUGUUUAGUGAUGAAUAAUGUCACUCCAACUUGUUUAGGGACUAAAAAUGAAUAAUUGGUAAAGUAUAGGGACGAAAAGUGUAAUUAUCCCAAAAAAGUACUCUUUUGUUUUGCAAUUUUAAUUGCUAAAUUUCAUGAGUUUUUGUUGUAGGCAAUUUGUUUCGGUUAUUGUAGAUUAAUUUGUUUAGAAUAUUAAUGAUUUAGUUCCUACCAUUGUUGCCUUCUCAAAAGUAUUAUUUAAAAAUAGUUUUAUUAUUAAACUAACCAUGUGUGCAACAAAUAUGAGAAUCUAUUAUUAUUAUUAUUAUUAGCAUUUUGCCACAUGUACUUUGCGUGGUUUUCUUUCCACUUUGCCACAUUAACUAAAAAAAUUUGGAUCUGCACAUCCCAAUCCACUUUUUUAACUCACAUAACCACCUAUGGCAAAUAUUCCAACGAAUCUUAUCAUUUACCAGCGCAUGCGCGACGCACAUGCAAAAGUACAAUGGAUUUUUCGUCUUUUCACCUGAAACUAUCAUACAAAGGUGAAAUUGAAAAUACCAAGGACUCAAUUGAACUUAAUUUGAAACUUACGCAAAAAUGUCACCGCCUACUGCUCGCAUUUUCUAUCCUUUUCAUUUGUGUUUUUCCCCUCACCAUUUUUAUUUAUAUACCUUUAUUUGAGUGUAUAUAUAUAUAUAUAUAUAUAUAUAUACACACACGAGGGAAUUGUGCUGGUUUACUCCCAAAGAUAGCAAAAGUACAGAGAAAAUGCUCAAAAUUGUUAGUAUAAUUUGUUUAGAAUAUUAACAUUUAAAGGAAUCGGAAAGGGUAGUGUCUGGUAAGAAGAGUAUCUGUAAACCCUAGAUUCAAUAUUCAAGAAAGAAGACCAAAUCAUAUGAUAUUAUUUUUUAUUUUUUUGGAAUAUAUAUGAAUAAGAAAGGAUCAGGUCAUAAACAUGAAAGAAUUUACAACCGCAUCAUCAGGAUACUCCCAUGGAAGAAGAAGACACAAACCUUUAUUUAAUUAAUUUCGAAUUUGCGUAAGUUUUAAAUUAAGUUCAAUUGAGUCUUGGUAAUUUAAAUUUCACCCCAUAUGAUAUUUUUAGGGGGAAAGACAAAAACACCCUUGUACUUUCGCAUGUGAAUCGCGCGUUCGCCGGCAAAUGAAAAGAUUCGUCGGAAUAUUCGACAUAGGUGGUUAUGUGCGUAAAGUGCAUUCCCUCGAUUCUCUUCACACAAACGCAAAAAUUCAAAGUCCUUUCAAGCCAACAAAAACGUAGACAAGAGUAUGCAGCAAAAACAAACACACAACACGUUUACAGGCAAUGCCCAACCUUUAUAUUGAUUUCCCAACAAAGAAUUCAAAGGAGACUAAGAUGCACAUACAAAAUCCUCACUUAGAAUGCCCGCAACUACAAUCUAAACUCUCUAAUACAAGAUGGACCGGAAUUGUGUAUUCAAAUUCAAAUAAAUACAAGGAAGAUGACAGUUUACACCCCUAACUGCAUAGGACACUUGGCGCCACGAAUGUCUUACAUGUCGCUCACUUUUACAGGUUACAAGGGCCAGUUUUGCAUGCUUUCCAGCCUCAACUGCUUCGCAAUUGUCCUUCAAAAUCUUGCAAGGAAUCAGUUGUUGCGCCCUGGCUUGCUCGGGCGCACGCGCGCCAAACGGCCGAGACCGCCCUACCGGUUCCUAGGCAGCCCGCCUAUCUUGCCUUGUCCGCACACGCUGCCUUACUUUGCCUGCAUCGGUCUGCCUAGGCUGCCCUUGCCCACAAUCUUGUGUCGGGCUACCAAGACUCAUUCUAGACAUCCCUAACUCUUGCCCAUCCCGUGCUCGUGUUGGUUGUUAAGUCACGCUCGUGCCCAACCGCAAGAACCUUUCCUUGAAUCUUUGGACAAGCACCCCCAAUGCAUGCGCAAUACUCGACCACCCAUUGGCCGAUGUGUGGCUGUCUUGUGCAAAUGCUCACUUGGCAUGCAUCAUUUCCCGGCCAUGACUCAGCCACACCCAAGUACCCCAAUGCAUGCGCAAUACUCGACCACCCAUUGGCCGAUGUGUAGCUGUCUUGUGCAAAUGCUCACUUGGCAUGCAUCAUUUCCCGGCCAUGACUCAGCCACACCCAAGUCAUAGCCGAUGUCACCGGUUAAGGGGCUAACUCCAGUCAUCAACCAAUUUUUCUCUAUUUCGCUCUAAAUUUUAAAUUUAAUACAAGCUUUUAAAAUGUUUAUAUUGCAACAUAUCAUGUUCUAAAAUUUUUACAAUGGCCUGAAAUUUGGUGUCACAAAUCUCAUUAUGCGGAAAACGAAAGUAAGUGCAAAUUUUAACUUGAUCGUAAAACUUUCUCCGAACUUUAAUAGAGCAAAACAUCCUCGUGAAUUUAUAUUAGUUUCUCGGAAUAUACUUAUUUUUUUUUAUUUUAGAUAUUACCAACUUUUUAAUUUUUAAUAUAAUUCUAGGAUAAUAUAGAAAGACAACAUAUAUACAAUAAAGAUCAACUAAAUAAUUGACUAAACACGUGCAACGCACGUGCAUCUUGCUAGUUAAUUUAAAGAGAGUCCAUCAAAUCAUGUCAUUAUUAACAUUAAAUCAAGAUUGAAGAGAGAUUGAAUGGUCAAAUCCAUCAAAUAAUUCAUGAUUUUCAAGUCAAAGUUCAACGUUGGAUUCGAAAUUCAAAUCAUCAUACCCUCAAAAAACGUUAUUCAAAUUCAAAAUUAAAUCAGGAGAAAAUCAAAUCAACAACUUGUCUUCAAAAUUCAAAGUGAAAUUUAUAUUGUUCAUGUGAGAAAAAGCAAAUAAUUAAAUUAGAGUUUGCAACUCAUAUUAUUUAUUUUAAUUCAAUAAAUUAUCUUUGUGCGAAUUUUUCUCGUUUGUUAAAUCUGCAUAUAAGAAUUUGUUGCUACAUGUAAUAGGUGGUGAAUAUAAAAGGGGCACUAACUUAAAACAAAUUAAUACUUGCGCAUAAAUGACAUCUAAAUUUUUAUAAUUUAUGAGUAUCUUUGUAUUUUGAGCAAUAUUAAAUAUCGGUAAAUAUAUGAUGAAAUUGUCGUAGAUAAGUUGGCUCUAGGUGAAGUGAGGGAGCCUCUUCUUAUUGCAGUUUUGCCCAGGGGUGUGAUCUAAACAUGUCAUGUUCGAACCGAGCUUGACAUAUCUUUUGAGUUCAAGCUCGAGUUGAAUCUGACAACCUCGAACUUGAGCUCAUUGUGCUUUUAUUUUCUCUGCUCGAGCAGAAUUUGUCGAGCUCGAGCCAUUUUUUUUCUUUUUCUUUAAUAAUAAUAAUAAUAAUAAUAAUAAUAAUAAUAAUAAUAAUAAUAAUAAUAAUAAUAAUAAUAAUAAUAAUAAUAAUUAUUAUUAUUAUUAUUAUUAUUAUUAUUAUUAUUAUUAUUAUUAUUAUUAUUAUUAUUAUUAUUAUUAUUAUUAUUAUUAUUAUUAUUAUUAUUAUUAUUAUUAUUAUUAUUAUUAUUUUUUAAUUAUAUUAUAAAAUUCUAUACAAUAACAAAUGAAUUGAAAUUUGUUUAUAUAAGAAUUUAUAUGUAUUUAUUAUACAUCAUGAAUAACUAAAACCGAGACUAACCACUAUUGUUCAUCACUAAAUGUACUCUUUCCUAGAUCAAUCUUAUUUUUUUUUUAAUUUCUUUUUCUUAUUAUGCUUAGAUCGCUAAGAAAAACACAAUAAAUCAAUGUUAUCGUACUACAUUUGCCGUUGUACACGAUGUUCUAAUCUAUAUUCUGAUCAAUGUACCAUCAAGAUCGUCGGUAACCGAUCUAUCCAAUCGAUAAAAACCAGACGAUCAUCGAAGUUGUCAGAAAUUCUACAUAUCUUCAAGCGCCAUGACUCCCAGACACUACGCAUCUUAUCCGAGGAGACGCCAUCUUUUAACGACCUCAAAUUGGUCUAUUACUCACCUUGAGUUUGAGGAAGAGUUGUUAAUAUAUGACGAGGAGUCUAUUAUUAUAGUGUUAUAUUUAGAUUAAUAGUUCUAGUUAGAUUGUAACUAAAUCUACAUUCCUUAUUAUAAAUAGAUACAUCAAUAAGAUCAUUAACGCAUAAUUCAAUUUACCAUCAUACUUUUGAUAUUCUAAUAUAGGGAAAGAUAAAAGAUAAUUUAUUAGCCUUUUUUUUUUAUUUGGAUUUUGUUUUCACAUUUUGGAUUGGGUCGUGGCAUUUAUAUUUAACAUUUUGUUUGGCUUUUUAUUUACAAUUUCCGAAGUUCCUACAAGUCAAGACUCAAAGUUAAAAGUUAUAAAUAUUUUAUUGAAAAAAAAAAAAUACAUUCAAUUUGGUAUUCAUUAAAUAUAUAUAUCUUUUGUUUUAUUUUUGUUAAGGGAAGUUUAGUCAUUUCUUUAAGUCAACAUGUUCAUCUCGAUUAAGGGAGCAAUAAAUGCAACAUAGGAAAUAAGUGGUCAUUUUUUUAGGGGCUUUAAGAUAUAGGUCCCUUGUGAGAAACUUUAUUAGAACUAAAUGACAAGUCAAACUAAACAUUUGCUUCACAUCCUUUAUAAAUUUCAUUCCAAAAAUACCCCUCAUACACAAAAAAUAAAAUUUGCACAAAGUAAUAUUUAAACUGUUUUUAUUAUUUUCAUUCUGCAUUUAAUAUUUUAAAUUUUACAUCUAGCAUUUUUGUUAUUAUUUUUUUUCGUCGAACAUUUUUUUUUUCUGCAUUUUCGUAUUUUUUCAUAAUUAUAAUAAUCUAUUUUUUCCUUUUUUUUUUCUUCUACAUAAUAUUGAAUAUUAUGAAUUUUUAAAAAAUUUCAGCCAUAGUCAUCUGCAGAAAAUUGUAGGAAAGUUGUAGUAGACCGUAGUCACGUAUAGACACCCGUAGAAAACUGUAGUAAUCCGUAGUCACAAUAUUCUUAAAACCCUAACUCCUCCUUUGAAUCUUAGCCGCUAGACACCAUAGACACCCAUAGACACCUGUAGACAUGAACUCGAACUCCGUAGUCACAAUAUUCUUAAAACCUUAACUCCUCAUCUGAAUCCUAGCCGCUAGACACCAUAGACACCCAUAGACAACUGUAGACAUGAAAUCGAACGCCAACGUGAAGCCGCUAAAGCCAACGUGAAGCCGCUAAAGAUAUCACAAACCCCACCCACAUUGCCGUCGCCAUCCCCCACCCCCUUUAUCGCUGCGUCACCAACACAAGGGCUGCAAACCAGCGAACGCUAUCCUCAUGCCCAACACCGCGUAACCAUGUUCAAUUAUUAAUUUUCAAGUUAGUAGCUAAUUAUUGCAAUAUUGUGUUCCAGAUAACUUAAAAUUCAAAUUGAAAUGAAUGAUUAGAAAAUAAUAAAUUAUGAAUAUAACUCUCAGUUCAUCACAAAUUUAAAAAUAAACAACUAAAAAAAAAAAAAAGCUCAACACUGCAUAAUUGAGACACUAGUCAAAAUGGAAGUGUUCUAUAAUCAUCAUCUUUUUCCAACUUCAUAUGUUUAUAUCUACAUAUAUAUGUAUAUAUACUAUGGCAGUUCAGAAUCGGAGGCGUGUCCGGAACUUCUCCGUGUUCGUGGACUCAUCGUCAUCAUCGUAGCUGGCUCUCCGAAUUCAUCCUCAUCGCUCUUCCCGUCGGAGUAUGCGACUCAAUCUCCCCUUCGGCGUAUCUACCGUCAAACAUUUUUAUCAUUUUAUUUUAUUAAUCUAUCUCUAUUUUCUCCCUCUCUAUUCUCUCACACACAGACACACACGAGAAAAAUAAUUACCUGGUUCUUUGGGGGUUUUGACUUCCAUCGAUUUCUUCGACAUAGAGAUUUUACUGAUCAUAAUUUCCGGGCAGCGACGAUUUCCUCCCCGACGAGGAAGUGAACAGAUCCUCCACCGGAACGACGCUCUCGUCGCAAGUCGAAGCCCCAUCGCUUCCCGAUUCAGAGUUCUCCCUCUGGCUCACGUUAGCCCUCUCCCUCUCAGUAACCCUAUACGCAGACAUCUUAAAUGGAAUCUGCCAAAUCGACAUCAAAUUCGAGUUCCCAAUCAACGGAAACCCCCUCACAAUCCCCAAUUCAAUCUCCCCAAAAUCAAUCGGCGGCAUCGGCGUGUCGAUCUGGCUGUGCUCACGGUUCAUCGCCAAAAACCUCUUCGCGUAGUGAAGAUUCCGGCAAAUCGAAGAAAAACCCAUCGCCUCUGCUCCUUCUCCCACGACGCUCUUCGCCGCCCCUGCUCCUUCUCCCUCCGUCGCCGGCGGCGGCGGCCUUCAUGGUGCUACUGGAGAAAAAGAAGAGAGAGAGGAGAGAAAAAAGGAGAUGGGAGCAAACGUGAGUUUGAGAGAGAACGGCGAGAGAGAACGUGACGCAACAGUUAUACGUUUAGGGUAUAAGGGUAAGAUAGGAAUAAAAAAAAAUUAGGGAUAUCGUUCAUAUAUUAUUUACAUCUAAGGAUUUAAAUAAAAGAUUGGAUUUGAACUUGUCAUUUAGUUCAAAUUAGGUUUCGUUUGAGGGACUUAUGGCAUAUUACCUUUUAACACAAGCACGUAUUCAACAAUUAGACAUUACAAAUGAUAUUCUGUGCAAUUAACUCAAAAUAUGAAGAUGUCUAUGAGUUUAAAGAAUUUUAUAUUUUGAAAUAUGAUCAAAAGUUAAUAACUUCUUUUUCUUUAUUUAAAAACCCCGCAACCAACCGUAUAAGUGAGAUUGAUAAUGAUAUUCAAACUUCAGUCUAUGUGACACAAAUUCACGGUUAGGCCAAAGUUAAUAAAUAUUGAAAUUAGUAGGCGAAUGUAGGGGUGGUAAACGAGCCGAGCCGGCUCGCGAACUCGACGAGCCGGCUCGAAAAAAGCUCGAACUCGAGCUCGGGAUUUUCGAGCUCGAGCUCGAGCUCACGAGCUCGAGCUUCGGACGAGCUCGAGCUCGAGCCCAAAAGUAGUUGUUAUAUAUAUAUAUAUAUAUAUAUAUAUAUAUAUAUAUAUAUAUAUAUAUAUAUAUAUAUAUAUAUAUAUAUAUAUAUAUAUAUAUAUAUAUAUAUAUAUAUAUAUAUAUAUAUAUAUAUAUAUAUAUAUAUAUAUAUUAUUCUUAUUCUUAUUAUUAUUAUUAUUAUUAACUAAAUAGUAAAUAGUCUAUAAUAAUAAAUAUAUCUAGUAUUUAAAUAAAAACAAAUCUAUAUUACUUAAAUAAUUCAUAAUUAUAUAAAAUAUUAUAAUAAUAAUAAUAAUAAUAAUAAUAAUAAUAAUAAUAAUAAUAGAAAAAAAAUAUAUAUAUAACUAGAGUUCAUUAUUUAUUUUAUAAUUUUUUUUAUUUUCCUAUGAAUAAUUUCUAAUAAAAAAAAAUUAAUAAAAAAAUUAAAUAAUAAUAAAAAAAAAAAAAAAAAAAAAUUAAUAAGCCUGAGCUCGAGCCAAAAAAAAUUGGCUCGACGAGCUCGAGCUCGAGCUCGACGAGCUCGACGAGCUCGAGCUCGAGCUCGGAACAUGGACUCGAGCUCGAGCUCGAGCUGGCCAAAAGAGCCGAGCUCGAUCCGAGCUCGUUCCCACCCCUAGGCGAAUGUUUAAAAGAAAAAAAUCACAAUUAUGUGACAGUAAAUUUUAGUCUAGACUUAUCCGGACGUUCUUAUCCCUUGAUCACAUCACAUCACAUCACAUGUACCAAAAGUUGGUAAAGUAAAAGAUAUUUUUUCACCAUGAGUGAGAAAGUAGAAAGUAGAAAGUAGAAAGUUGAAAGUAGAAAGAAAACAAGUCAAAUAAAGUCAGCCUUCCUUCAUUUUCAAAGACCUUAUUUUCUUCUACCCAAAGACGAUUCAGUUUCCUCCAUCUUUUUUUACUGCAAAACCCUUCAAUAUUUUUUCUAGUGGCGGCCGUGUGUGUGUGUGUGUGUGUGUGUUCACAAGUAUUUGUGCUGUACGGAAGUUUUUUGGUAACAUUCAUUUUGUUUUUCUUCUAUUUUCCUUGAUUAAUCUCAUAGAAAAACCAUUUUUCAUGUGUUUUUUACUUCCCCAUAUUGGUUGAAAGACUUGAUUUUUCAUGCAUGCAACAUUUUUAUGGCCAUAUUUUAUCUCUGAGAUAGCCUCUAUUUUUGCAGGGUUUCUGUUCAAAAUUGCCAGGAGGGUUUGAAGAAAUUCGCUGACACUGGCAGCCAAGCCAGCAUAUAAAUAUAUCUAUAUAUAUGUAGAGAGAGAAGUUUGAAGUGAAAAAUGGAGGGGAAUCGUACUUCCUCUGGUUCCGGCACCAUGAAACAAACAUGGCCGAAAGACGAGUUCACCGAUUUGGUGCUUUCAUGGUCUCUUCAUGAUAUCUACGAUCAGGAUCUGUACCAACACCAGGUCUUUUUUCCAAUUAUACAUUAUUAUAUAUUUAUAUGUAUAUAUUAUAUAUAUGGUUCAUUGUGUGUGGCUGUGUAUAUAUAUACAUAUAUAGUAGUUGGCUGUUUGUAGUAAUCAGAGAUCGAACCGCGCCCAUAUAUGAGGAAACUCCCUUUUCGUGUAGAUAGGUCAAAUGAAAUUGGGGUUUUUGCAUGAUCAUUCGUCUUUUGCUUCUUUUGGUUUAUAGUUUAUCAUUUUCAUUUACUCUUUUCGGUAGUUCUUAUGGUCGAAAGUUGGAAACUAUUGUUUUUUGUUUCGAUAAGGUAUGUCAUUAUAAUUUUUCAAUAAGUCUUGAAGAUACUUUAUGGAUAUAAUCUUCAUUAGUAGUAAUAAUCAAUUUUUUUUUCCAUCUGUACUAAUUUCCUUUUACAUGCAGGUGGAGAAGAUUCCGGAGUCAUUUGAAUCUGUUGAUAGCUAUCUCGGUUCUUACAUCUUCCCUUUACUAGAAGAAACGCGCGCGGAACUUGCUUCGGCCACGGAAACUGUAUAUAAUGCACCUUUUGCUGAAGUGACAUCGUUUAGUGAGCAAAGACAUGGGAAAUUCCUAUAUAGCGUUAAGGUUGAUGAUUGGAGAAACAGAUUAAGUGAUGGUGGCAGAGAGCCUUACAAAACUUUGCCCGGUGAUUUAGUUUUGAUUUCAGAUGUCGAACCGAAAACCAUUUCUGACUUACUGCGUGUUGGCUUUACGUAUACGUUGGCUUCUGUAAUAAAUAUUGAGGAUGAUGGGAGUGACAAUAAUUGUACAUCCUCCAGUUUUGCUCUGAAAUCGUCUCGGGAGAUUGACUUCGGGGAUGGACAAGGAGAGUCACUCUAUGUGGUUUACUUGGUCAACAUUACACCACUUAAAAGAAUAUGGAAUGCGUUGCGCAUGCGUCGAAAUCUGACAAUCGUUGAUAAAUUAUUAGCCAAGAAUGACUUGGUAAGGAGAUGAUUAUAUUUUUUUCUUUCAUAAUUUUUUUGAUUGGAAAUUUUGCACUCGUCCGAUUACUUUCUAACUAGUGUAUGUAUGCUCCACCAGAGUGAGGAGAUGUGUGAUGUAUGUUGCCAUAAAGACAAUGCUGAGAUGGAAGAGAAACUUGGUUCGACUUUAUUCUCCAAGUUAAAUGAAUCACAACUCGAUGCAAUAUUGUCUUGUCUAUCGAAAUCCGAGUGCGACCACAAGCCAUCUGUGGAACUCAUAUGGGGUCCACCUGGGACUGGAAAGACAGCAACCUUGAGCAGAUUACUGUUUAGUCUCUUAAAAAAGAAAGUGAGGACCCUCAUUUGUGCCCCAACGAACGUUGCAAUUAAAGAACUGGCCUCUCGGGUGAUAGCACUUGUAAGAAAUAAAUCUGAGGAGAACAAUUUGUCUUGUCCUUUAGGAGACAUGCUCAUCUUUGGCAAUAAGGAUCGUUUGAAAGUUAGCUCAGACAUUGAAGAAAUUUUUUUAGAAUAUCGUGUUGAUAGGCUUGUAAGUUGCCUCGGGUCACUAACUGGUUGGAAGCAUUGUAUCUCGUCCAUGCUCGAUUUUCUCCAAGACUGUGUUUCUUAUCAUCAAAUCUUUGUGGAGAAUGAGCUCAUCGCAGCAAAACAAAGUCCCGAGCACGUCGAAUCAAAAUCACUUUUGGAGUUUGUCCGAGAUCGAUUUCCACGUUUAGCAACACCUCUGAGAGAUUGCAUGACUACAUUCUUCACUCAUUUACCGAGGAAUCCCGCUCACGAGCAGCAGAUAUUUCGAAACAUAAAGCAACUAAUGUCCCUUCUCGAUUCGGUUGAGAUGUUGUUGUUUGAAGACAAUAGCUUGACAUCUAAAACACUUGAGAGAAUCUUCUUACGGGAGGGAACGGUUGAUUCUGCAUCGUCCUUAAUGUAUAUGAGAAGCCAAUGUCUGAAUAUUCUCAGAUCUCUUCGGGGUUCUCUAGAUAAACUUGGCCUGCCAAAUGGCAUUCAUAUAACUUCCACCCAAGACUUGUGUUACAAAAAUGCUACUUUAAUUUUUUGCACAACUUCGACGGCAUAUAAGCUGCACACAGUUGAAAUGGAACCAUUUAACAUGUUGGUCAUCGAUGAAGCUGCCCAAGUAAAGGAGUGUGAAUCGAUCAUUGCGCUUCAGAUCCCCGGUGUCAGGCAUGCAAUUCUUGUUGGCGAUGAAUGCCAGUUACCAGCGACAGUUAAAAGCAAGGUAAAUGUUUAAUUAACUUAUUUCAUUAUAUUAUACGGGCAGAAGGUCAUAAAUAAUGCUUAAUAUUGUGUUUAAACACAGGUAUCUGAAGAAGCUGGUUACGGGAGAAGUCUAUUCGAGAGAUUGAGCUCAUUGGGUCACUCAAAGCAUCUGCUUAAUGUGCAAUACAGGAUGCAUCCAUCCAUAAGCCGCUUUCCGAAUUCAAAUUUCUAUGACAACCAGAUAUUAGAUGCGCCUAGUGUGCGGAGCCGAAGCUAUGAAAGAUGCUAUCUCGAAGGGAGGAUUUUUGGUCCUUAUUCAUUUAUCGAUAUUCCUGGUGAUAAUGAAGAAUUGGAUGAUUUUGGGUAUAGUAGGAAAAACAUGGUUGAGGUGGCAGUAACUGUGAUGCUAGUGCAGAAACUCUUCAAGGGUAUGUCCGUACCUGCAUCAAUUUCUUGUCGCUUUACGUGCCAUAAAUCAGAUUCUCUAUUUCACAUUUUUAGUGCCACGUUUAUAUUUGAUGAAUGAUUUAUUAUGAAGUCCUCGAGUAUAUCGUUUAAAAUCACAUUAUAAGAAGCUAUACACCUGGACUUUGAGUUUCUUUCUAAAUAGGUUCAUCCAGAAGGACUUUAAAAGACAUUAUAUAUGCAUUGAAAAACACAGUUAAUAUUUGUCUAUGAAGUCUUGAUUAGUCUCAAUAUUUUAUCUCCACUUAUGAUUUUUUUUUUUUAACGUAAAAUGUUUACUUACUCUUCUACGAGCAUACUUACCAUGGUCACUUAUAUUAUGUUGUCGCUUAUUAAUAGCAUGGAAUGGCUCAAACGAGAAACUGAGCAUUGGCUUGAUAUCCCCUUAUGCUGCACAAGUUGCAGCAAUUCGAGACAAGCUUCAACGGAAGUAUGAGAAGUUUGACAAGUUUAUAGUUAAUGUGAAGUCAAUUGAUGGAUUUCAAGGCGGUGAGGAAGAUAUCAUAAUAAUAUCAACUGUGAGGUCUCAUAAAGGUGGAUCUAUUGGUUUCUUGUCCAGCCCGCAAAGAACUAACGUAGCUUUGACCAGAGCUCGGUAUGCCAUCAAAUGAAUAUUGUAUCACUUAGAUUUCAUUUGAUUUUUUGUUCGAUAAUGAUUAUUGUUUUUUUCUCCCCCUCUUUUCUAGUCACUGUCUUUGGAUACUAGGGAAUGAAAAAACUCUGAGUAAAAGUGAUUCAGUCUGGGAAGCAUUAAUAUCCGAUGCUAAGCACCGCGAUCGUUUUUUCACUGCUAAUGAAGAUUGCGACAUUCGAAAAGCUGUUAUAGACAUUACGAAAGAGUUGGAUCAACUUGAAGAUUUGCUCACUGGCAAGAGUAUACUCUUCAAAAAUUCGAGAUGGAAGGUACUAGUUUGUUUAUGUUGUACUCGAAUUUUAUCUGUCGAUUCUUUUAGCCUAAACAAAUGUUUCUACAACUUAUUGGUGUGUAUCAAACAAAACUAGUUGCCUUUAUGUUUAAAGUAUUGUGUUAAUCAAAGAUAUGUUAUAGCACCACUCGUUUGCUCUAUCUAGUUUGAUUAUCAGUUACAUACAUUCAUAUUACUUAUAUUUGUAUUAUGUACAAAACAAGGUCAAACUUAAUUCUUUAUGUAGUAUUUGCUUAAGUAUCCAUACAUGAAAAUGUGUCGUGCCUUUUUCAAUUUUGCGUUUUAAGUUGUGGUUUUUGUUACAGACUACUAUAUUUGUGUUUUUCGCAAAUGAGUAUCUUUUUUCUCAGAGUUUAAAUGGCACAUUUUCAGGUUGUAUUCAGCGAUAUCUUCCGAAAAUCAUUUCAGAAAUUGAAACCUUCCAAUGUUAAGAAGCUGGCCAUAACUGUUCUACUUAAGCUUGCAAGUGGUUGGCGGCCCAAGAAUAUAAAUGUGAACUGUAAAUGCGAGAGCUCUUCAUAUAUUGUGAAGCAAAUCAAGGUUGCAAAAUACUAUGUUAUUUGCUCCAUUGACUUAAUUAAGGACCCCGUUUAUGUACAAAUUUUGAAAGUGUGGGACAUAUUGCCCAUGACGGAGACUACAAAACUGUUGAAACGGCUUGACAGCAUCUUUGCUAUGUAUACAGAUGAUUUUAUCAACUGCUGCAAUGAGAAGUUGUACGAGGGGUACGUCAUUUUGGUUAUAUUUUGUUGUAUGAUGUAUCCAAUAUGUAUGUCUUUUAUUGUUCUUUAUCCAGUUGGGAAAAAUUCAAUAUCAUUAAACAAAAUUUACAAGUUUUUUCUAAUAUGACUUCAAAUCUUGAUUGGCCGACAUCUAUUUGCUCAUGUCUUUUAGUUUUCUACUUGUACAGUGUUGUAGUAGAUGUCAAUUCUUUUAAUUUGAUUUUGUUUCAGACAUUUGGAGAUGCCAAAGAGUUGGCCGGUUUGUACUGAUAUUAUCCGGUUCAAGAAUCUCAAUGACACCAAAGUCAACACUAAUAGUGGAAGUGAUGGUGUUGACUGCAGAAGUCAUGUUGAAAAUGCCAAAGUCAGCGAAAGCUUACUGUUGAUGAAAUUUUAUUCGUUGUCGAGUGAUGCUGUGAGUCAUUUGUUGCUUAGUGAUGAUGUGGAGGCUCGAGAAGUGGAUCUUCCAUUUGAGGUCACCGACGAAGAGCGUGAGAUAAUAAUGUUUCCAAGGAGCAGCUUUAUAUUAGGUAGAUCUGGUACUGGCAAGACUACUAUUUUGACUAUCAAGUUGUACCAGAAACUUCAGCAAUACAGCAUGGCUACACGCGAUUCUAUGGCAGAUCACAAUAGUGUGCAGACCUUGCACCAGCUUUUUGUUACUGUUAGUCCAAAACUAUGUUAUGCUGUUAAAAAGCAUGUUUCUCAUCUGAAGAGGUGCGGUUUUUUUUUUUGAAUUAUUUUAACUUUUAUUGCCUUGGUUGGCAUAAGUUAAUGUUUUAAGAUGGUUCAUAUUCCAGAAAUGCACGACUGACGUUUACUUUACUAUAUGUACAGCUUUGCUAGUGAGAAUGCCUCCGUAAAUAAUAACUUAACGGAUAUGGAUGAUUUAGAUGAAAUGGCUGAAUUCCGAGAUAUCCCUGACACGUUUGUUGGCAUUGAACCAGAAAAGUAUCCUCUAAUUAUCACAUUUCAUAAGUUUCUAAUGAUGCUUGACGGUACGUUGGGUAAUUCUUAUUUUGAGAGGUUCCGUGAUGUAAGAGGUUCCUCAGAAUGCCAAGGUAGAAGAUCUAUUGCACUGCAGAGUUUCAUAAGGAGAAACGAGGUUACAUAUGACCGUUUUCGGUCCUUAUACUGGCCCCGCUUGAACGCGAAGCUCACAAAAAAUAUUGAUCCCUCGAGAGUGUUCACUGAAAUAAUGUCUCAUAUAAAAGGAGGUCUAAAAGAAGGGGAAUCAGGCGAAACCAAGCGAAGCAGAGAUGGCUAUGUUUCAUUAUCCGAAAGUAGGGUUUCCACUCUAAGUGCAGAGAAGAGGGAUGUAAUUUAUGAUAUUUUUGAAGACUAUGAGAAAAUGAAAUUGGAGCGUGGUGAGUUUGAUCUUGCUGAUUUUGUGAUUGACAUUCAUCUACGGCUCAAGAACGAGGAUGAUUUAAUUGGUGAUAAAAUGGACUUGGUGUACAUUGAUGAAGUGCAAGACCUUACCAUGAGGCAAAUUUCCCUUUUCCGUUUUAUUUGCAAAAAUGUCGAUGAAGGAUUUGUAUUUUGUGGUGAUACAGCUCAGACAAUUGCAAGAGGGAUUGACUUCCGGUUUGAAGAUAUUAGAUCGUUGUUCUAUAAUGAGUUCUUUAUGAAAUCUAGAAAUUGCGGGAGAAGAGAGAAAGGACUUGUAUCGGAUACUUUUUGUUUGUCACAGAACUUCCGUACGCAUACUGGGGUACUUAGGUUGGCACAGAGUGUCAUAGAUCUUAUUUGCCAUUUUUUUCCUCAGUCGAUUGAUGUAUUGCCUCCGGAGACUAGCCUUAUUUAUGGUGAGUCUCCUGUGGUACUCGAACCUGGUAGUGACGAGAACUUGAUUAUGAGUAUUUUUGGACAUAGUGGACAUGAUGCUGGAAAAUGGGUAGGGUUUGGUGCUGACCAAGUAAUUUUAGUACGUGACGAAUCUGCGAGAAGGGAAAUUUUCAACUAUAUUGGCAAACAAGCUCUUGUUCUCACUAUAGUCGAGUGCAAGGGGCUCGAGUUUCAGGUUAGAAAUAAUGCUUCUUGCAAUUUAUAAAGUUAAUAUAUAUAUAUAUAUUUUUAAAUUAAUCUAUGAAUGUUUAUUUGCUGUGAUCUCUGAAUGAUCUUCUUGUACUGCUUGCUUCUCUUGUAGGAUGUUCUGUUGUACAAUUUUUUUGGUUCUUCACCUAUGAGUGAUCAAUGGAGGGUUUUGUAUGAAUUCUUGAAAGAAAAGGAUUUACUUGAUGCCAGUACUCCAAAGUCGUUUCCAAGUUUUAGCGAGUCAAGACACAACAUUCUGUGCUCUGAACUUAAGCAACUAUACGUGGCCAUCACUCGAACGAGGCAAAGAUUGUGGAUAUGUGAAAACAAUGAACAGCUGUCGAAGCCCAUACUCGAUUAUUGGAGAAGGUUGUGCCUUGUUCAAGUUCGCAAAAUAGACGAUUCUCUUGCAUUAGCAAUGCAAAGAGCUAGCAGCCCGGAGGAGUGGAAAUCACAGGGAAUCAAGGUUUUUUUCAAUUUUCUUUGCUCGCUUCUCUUUAUAUUAUGUUUUUUGCAUUAUUAUUUAUUCUGAUAAUUGUAUUAUUCAUUUAUUUAUUGUUUUGCAGCUCUUUUGGGAAAAGAAUUAUGAGAUGGCAACAGUGUGCUUCGAAAAAGCUGGAGAAGAAAAAUGGGAGAAAAGGGCCAAGGCUUCUGGUCUUAGAGCUUCGGCUGACUCUCUCCGUGGUUCAAACCCUAAAGAGGCUCGUGUUAUGCUUAGAGAGGCUGCUGAAAUAUUUGAUUCUAUUGACAGAGCUGAUUCUGCUGCAGAUUGUUUUUGCGACUUGGAGGAAUACGAAAGAGCAGGUACACUCAUUUGUAGAUUACCAAAUGUACCUUUGAAAAAUUGAAUAACACCUAAUUUUAAAGAGAAGAAUCACGCAUUAAGGAAGUUUUUCGUGGUUUAAUUUGUUAAGCACUUUUUGGGAUGAGUUAUAGAGCAAAUGAGACAGUUUUAUAGAUGAGUAGAGAUUGAAAUAAAAUUCUAUGAAAAUUUGAGCUCGAUUCAUGUUAGACAUGACUUGAUUGGUUAGAUAAUUCAAAUAAACCUGGACAUUAUUUCUAAUUUGAUAACGAAUCCGAUUAAACAAUAACUUAUAUGAAUGAAUUUUAGUGACACAUGUUUAUUAUUUACGUGAAUCCUCGUGACUUCAUAAUAGUGGGUUGAUUUUUGAAUUAAUUUCGUGGUGCAGGAAAGAUUUAUUUGGACAAAUGUGGUACGUCGGAGUUGAGAAAAGCUGGGGAAUGUUUCUCUUUAGCUGGAAGUUACAAAAUUGCCGCUGAAGUUUAUAACAAGGGGAAAUUUUUCGACGAGUGCUUAUCAGCUUGCACCAAAGGCAAUCAUUUUGACCUUGGUUUGCAGUACAUCGAGCAAUGGAAAUCAUUUGAUACUGGAAUUAUGACAAGAUUUAAAGGGAUUGACAAAAUUGCACAAGAGUUUCUCGAAAAAUGUGCUUUGGAAUGUAAUAGGAAAAAUGACAGUGCAUCGAUGAUGAAGUUUGUCCGUGCUUUCUGUACGGACGAGUCCAAAAGAAACUUGCUAAAGUCCUUGGAUUGCCUUGAGGAUCUUUUAAAAUUGGAGGAAGAGUGUGGAAAUUUCAAAGAGGCUGUAGAGAUUGCACAGCAAUUAGGAGGACAUAUUUUACGAGAGGUUGAUUUGCUGGAAAAGACUAAGGACUUUCGAAAUGCUUCGUUGCUCGUAAUAUCUUAUGUAUUUAAUAACUCUCUGUGGGUAUAUGGAAGCCAAGGUUGGCCGCUAAAAUCGUUUCCUCAGGAUCGAGAGCUAUUAGCUAAAGCGACAUCAGCUGCAAACAAUGUUUCCGAAAAUUUUCAUGCAUCAAUUUGUGCCGAGGCCGAAUUUUUGUGCCGUGAUAGAAUGAGUUUAUCUGAGUUGAUGCAGUGUUAUAGUGCUUCAAAGCAAUAUAAAACUCGUAUGGUCGAAAUUCUAUCCGUCAGAAAAUUCCUUGAUGCCCAUUUUCAAGUCCAUCCAGCAAAAUAUGAAUUGGAUCUUCUUCCUCAAUUGUUGAUUGAUCAAAGAUUAUUUGAAGAAAGAAUGUUGAAGAACCAAGUCUCUGGUGGAACCCUUGUUUUCGUUUGGAGCCUAUUGAAGGUACAAAGUGUGGAGAUCUUCGACUGUCUCGACUCUCUUGAAAGGGCAGACCUCGUCAAAUGUGAAGACACUGCUCGAUUCUGUUUUAACUACUUUGGAGUGAGGUCGGCACAUAACUCAAGUGACACCUAUUAUAUAUUGUUGAACCCUAAUUCUGCAUGGAUUAAAACUUCGGACAAGAGGUUCAUUGUGUGGAAAAGACAGGUGGCAACUCUUGAUGCUCGUCAUUUUGCGUCAGCUGCACGAGAAUAUUGGUGUCAAGAAAUGGUUUCGGCUGGACUAAGAGUAUUGGAUGCUCUUCAAGCUAUUUCGAUGAAGCCUUCUUUGUCCAAGUACUGCCAAACUGUGUACCUCCUUCAUAUUUUCGACAUAACAAGGUUCCUUGAGUCGAAAUCACUCGGCACAAAGAAAGUUGAUGCGAUCAAACUGCACAACUUUCUUCAAUUGUCUGCCAAAUACGUUGAAAUCGUUUUUCCUUUGGACCCUCGACAGUCGUUAUCUGAGGAUAUGGUAUCUUUAAGGGAAACCGAAAUUUCCAAGAAUUCACUUGAAGAUAUUGUGUGUAGAAAUAUUAGCUUGAAGAACGACGAACUCACUCAUAGGCAGAUAGGCGAGGUGGUGAUGAUAAUGCUUGGGUCUGGAUUAAAGCCGAGAAACGGGAUUAAUUAUGAGAGGCUUAUUGCAAGGCUGUCUGAAAACACUUGUAAUUGGAAGUCAUUCAUCGAGAAUCUCGGUACCGUGCAAGAAUCUUCCUCCAAAGAAGCUCUGAGUCACGAGUUUCAUAAAGCACUUGUCGAAACAUAUAACAGGAAUUGGAGGGCAAGAGACUAUAUAUCUCCUAAAUGUUUCUUUUAUCUUGUGGAGAGACUUUUGAUUUUGGUUCCUCACUGUCGAGGUCACUUUUUCACUACAAAAUCCUCGUUUGCAGAAUAUUUAAUGUGCCUUAAACCGGAUGCGAACCCAAGUGAGGGUUUAAUCGCCGACAAAAAAUCAUAUGCUACAAACACGUUUAAAUUUGUUGCCGAUGUGACCAGGGGAUGUCUUUAUAACAGUCAGGGUACGGCAGAAUGGAUUAAUCGUUCUAAUAUCGACUGCAAGUACUAUCUUCCGGUGCUUAUGCUGAGGUUGUUCAUGAUUCUUUGUUUAUCGUGUCUGAAUUCUGAGUUGCCGUUCAAUACACUUUUUGAGGUGCUUAAAGUAGGUUAUGUCAGAAACCAGCUGCCGUGGAAAUUUUGUGAAGCUAUUCGUGAUAGGCGUACGAGGAUGAAUUAUAAUAAUAAUAAUAUUUCGGACAAUGCUGCUGCAGUUGCUGGAGCUUUCAAUAUUAUAGGGGAUCCUCUUGUUAUUGUAGCCUCGACUGAGUUUAAUAGUGUCGAGUUUGUAUGUCCCGAUUCCAUUUUUCUUGACUUGAAGUCGUUCUCGUGUCGAAAUGAGGUGAUCAGAAAACUAUUUUCUAACAAGAGCAGCUGUGAAGCAUCAACACAUUCACACGGUGAUGAAAAAGUAAUUGCAGUUGAUGGAAAUGAUGUUGUUAGUGAACAAGUUACCACUAGUACGAAAUCUUCAAACACGAGAUUGGAAACCGAUUCACAAUUGAGCACCUCAAAGAAUGGCGAAGGGGUUGUGCGAAUGGACUUAAAUUGGAACAUUAUUCAGGAAUUAUUUGACGCAGGGUAUGGAAAUGAUGGAGAUUCCAAGAGCACUCUUCGGAUGAAGAUGGUAAAAAGUGAAAUUAUUAUUAUUAUUUAUUUUUAUUUGGGGAGUUAUAUAUGGAUCAUGUAUAUGAUGAUGAUAUAUUGUUUUUAAUUUUAAUUUUUUCAGGAGGAAAUGAAGGAGCAUAUAAAAAUAUUAACUGCUGACAUGGCAACUCACCCUGGUGAAGAUAAAAAAUUGCUGGCCACGAUGGAGGAACUGACCGAGCUUUCUUCUUCAUUAGAUACGAGGUUAGUCUUAAUUUUGAGAAAAUCAUCUCGAAUAACAUAAAUAAACGAAAGAAUUUGAUCAUUGUCGUCUUCAGUAUAUAUGUAUUGGAGAGUUCUUUUGUUACAUUUGUAAUAAACUGAUUGCCAUGAUUAAUGCAGUGAGAUUGAUGUUAAAGCAAUGCAGAAGCUGGGAGAACUUUUGAUGAGCUUCAAAGAAAGAAGUUCUGAAAUAUCAUUGUUGGGUUCGAAUGACCAUAUAACAAUGCAUUCAACUUCUUCUGACGACGACGACGAGGAGGAGGACGAAGAUAGAAAAAAUAAUAGCAAAAAUGGAAAAGGAAAGAGCAAGAAUAAUAAGAAGCAGCCGAAAAAAGGGAAAGGAAAAGGGAAAGGGAAAGGAGGUAAAAGGAAGUGAAAAGGGUAAUUAAUUUUUGUAUGUAAAUCUUUUUGUUUCUUCGAAUUUGAGUUUUGAGUAUCUCUUCUGAUGUUACUUUUUGGUUUAAGCCCGUGUCGGGUGCUCGAAUGGUCGUGUUGGAUAUCUACGCUGCGUCGUAUAUCAGUUCUUUAGCAUGAUGUUACUUUUUGGUUUAAGCCCGUCGUGUCGCGUGCUCAAAUGGUCGUGUUGAAUUUCUACGCUGCGUCGUAAAUCAUAUCUUUAGCGUUUCUUUUAUUUGCUUAUUACAAUUCAAAAUUUUAAAUCCAUGUUGAGAUAGAAUCAUUAGCAAAGGCCCUGAUCGGCAAAAAAGAUGAACAUUAAACCAACUUAUAGUAUGAAAUGGUUUAUAUUUUAUUUUAUUUAUUAAGUUGAGUUUUUAAUAAGUAAUGUAGUAGUUUUUGUGAAGCAUAAACAAGACAGUUAAUAAUAAAAGACAAAGCAAGCAACAAAGAAUCAAUCAUAUGCUUUUCCAACAAGUAAAGAGUAGUAAAUCCAUGUACAACAAAGAUAACGCAUGCAUGAAUAAAAUAAACAAGGGAGUAUUAGUGAGAACCCCCUCCAACAUUAUUUUAAUAAGGAUGGGUUCAACCCCUUUUUCAUUAUUAGUGAGGGACCCAUUCUUUUUUUAUUUCCAAAUUUACCCUCCCUUUAUUCACUACCCAUUUAUCCACUACUUUGAUGAUUUUUUAUUUAUUUAUUUAUUUUUUUAUUUUUUAUUUAUUUAAAAAAAACUUUGUUUUAAAUAUUUCUUCUUCCAGAAAAAUAUUUCUCUUUUUCGAUUUUUUUAUUGUCAGUUUUUUCUUUCAGAAUGAAUUGCAAUUUUUUUGUACUAACUAAAUCAUAUACACAACAGACCAACAUAGUAUAUUAGCUUCAUAUUCCAAAUAAAUGUAACAAAAAAAACAAGGACACAAAUAGAUAAGGAAACAGACCUCUAAGCGGCGAAUCCGAUGAUCUUGGAAUCGAAAAGCUUCAAGAUGCCACCGGAAUUGGAGGAGAGCUCCUCGAUUUGGAUCUGUAGGUUGUGAUAGAGGACACGGGGCUCUCGUCUUCGCGGCUCUCCUCGUUCUGCUCGAUUGGUGAUGUUUUUGUAGGCGAAGAGGAGGUUGCGUUCCUCGGCGGGGAGAAGGUUGCGUUUCUUGGCGAAGAGAACGAUAUUAACAGGGAGAGAGGAAAGGAAGGGGACGGUGGAGAGAGUGUAGGGGAAAAAGAGAAUAGGUCAAAUAUUAAAUAAUAUUACAUAAAGGGCAAACUAGGUAUAUUAAAUCGAAAUUUAAUAAAUAUUUAAUUUAAUUUAUAAAUAAGUGGGGUUUCACUAAUAAUGUAAAAGGGUGUAGAUCCACCCUAAUAUACCCAAAGGUUUUGGGGGGUUUUCACUAAUUAUCCCAAUAAACAAAGUCAAUAGAUGUUUUCGAUAUUUUAAUUGAGUUGAAAAAUUAAGGGUAAUUUUGUAAAAAGCCUAUCAUAGAUUUUUGAUUUUUCAAUUAAUGAGAUUCUAAGAAAGACAAAAAUAUUUAGUUGGGGCCAAAUCCGAAUCAUUUGGUGAAUGGACUUGUAUACCAAACGGCCUCAGUCGACAAAGAGAGCCCCGUGACUAAUUACGAAAAUCUCCUCCAUGUUUGCAUAAUGACAAAAUAUGGACUUAUAACUAAGAACAAAUAAAAAGAAAAAAGUUGCUGUCUUUAUAGCUAUUUAAAUUUAGAUUUGUGGUGAGUGAGUCUCGUUAGCCAUUUCCCCCAUUGAAGUGAAUAAAAUCAUUGGAUCAAAUGAAGGCCUUGUUUUCAACUGCAUGCUUUGUUUUGCUGAUAAAAUCAUCGACUGACAUUGUACCCAACUCUCCACCAAACCUCGAUCUAACUGUUAACGCUUGUGUUUCUACCUCUUUGGGCCCCACAACCGCCAUUAAUGGAAUCUUCAGUUUCUCUGCUGUCCUAAUAAGUUUUGGCAGCCUCUCUCCACUGCAAACUUCUGCUCUAAUGCCAUUUUCUUUCAAUCUUUUGCACACCUCAUUGCAGUACUCAAGCUGUAGCAAUUGCAUAAUUAUUUCAGUGAGCUUAAUUCUUACGUCACAAAAUAUACAUGCAGUUGAUCGAGUAAGUUAUAUACUACUACUACUACAAACAAUGGAGUCCCACUAUAAUCGGAUGUUUUCUUUACCUGUAUGUCAGUUACUGGUAAAAGACGAGCUUGAAUAGGAGAAAGCCAUAAUGGAAAAUCUCCAGCAUAAUGCUCUAUAAGAACUCCAAAGAAGCGCUCUAAGGAUCCAAGAACUGCUCUAUGUAUCAUGAUUGGUCGCUUCUUCUCUUGAUCCGAAUCGACGUAAGUGAUGUUAAAGCGUUGAGGCAAAUUAAAAUCAACCUACCAAAAAAGAAAAUUAUAUAUAUUUGCCAAAAGAAGAAUAGAAAUGAACAUUGCAGUGGUGGUUUCUUUCCAUUAGGUCGGUCCACGGAAACAAACAAUACCUGUAUGGUGGAGCAUUGCCACUUCCUUCCGAGUGCAUCCUCGAUUUUUAAAUCAAUUUUGGGGCCAUAAAAAGCGCCACCGCCAUCAUCUAUCUGAUAAUUCCAACCUUUGUCAUCUAAGGCAUCCUUUAGAGCAGAUGUUGCUUUAUCCCAUAUAUCAUCACCUCCCACAGAUUUCUCUGGUCUUGUUGACAGGUUUACUUCAUAUUUGUCAAAACCAAAUUGCAGCAAUAUUUCCUCCGUAAGAUCCAGCACACCCCUUAUUUCGUCUUUUAUUUGAUCAUCUAAACAGAAUAUGUGGGCAUCAUCCUGUAAAACCAAACCAUCACAGAGUAAACUUAACACAAGCCUCUGGAGCAUAAUUAAAAUUUUUCUAACAGAUACGCAGAGAUGAGAACUCUUAUUAAUGCAUUACACUGAGAUAUUACAGGGAGCCUUUUAAUGGAAUGGGAAAUCUAAAUUUUGAUACAUAAGUAACAAGAACCUCGAUUUUACAAUAAAGUAAAUCGCAUGGAAUUCUUUAAAAUUCAAAUUAACUUGAAUGGUUUCAAGGCGACAAUUGUGGAAGUUUCAAUGAUACCAUUAGAUUAUCUGUUGAUGUCGAUAAAUCCAAGACCAAAAGCCAAUCUAAGACUCCGUACUUUAAGAGAUAUAGAUUCAAUGAGCAAAACACAAACACAUACCUGGGUAAAUCCUCUUACUCUGAACAAUCCAUGUAAACUUCCAGACAACUCAUAUCUAUACACUGUUCCAAGCUCAGCAACCCUGAUUGGAAAAUCCCUGUAAGAAUGCUGCUUCCGUUUGUAAACCAAAAUAUGGUAAGGGCAAUUCAUCGGUCGGAGCUGAUAAAGUUCUUCCUCUAUCUUCAUCUGAUCAAACAUACUCUCUUUGUAAAAGUCGAGAUGACCACUAAUCUUCCAAAGAUCUCCUUUUGCUACAUGUGGAGUAUAGAGUAAAUCAUAGCCACGCUGUAUGUGGAUCUUUUUCCAUGCAUCUUCAAUUAUGUGUCUUACAAUAGCACCCUUUGGAUGCCAGAAAACCAACCCUCCACCAGCCUCAUCCUGCACGUAUUUUCAUUUCAGGUAUAAGACCUAGGGAAUCUUAAAUGAGCAAUAACGCCACACAUACAUAUUCGUUCAACAAAAAAAUUACAAUAGCAACUACCAUUUUGAUUUGGUUGAAAAAUGGAUGAAAUCACAUCUAGUGUGACUAGAAUAUAGUUGACUGUUUAAAAAGAAAUAUUCACAUCAAGUGAAAUGGAUGGAAUAGACAUCUUUGUUUAAUCUUUAUUACAAAGCUGAAAAUGUAACAUGGAUGUCCUUUGCAGAAAUAAACAAAUCCAGCAUUUUAAAGAUGUAGUUGGGGAAAGGCCAGGGCAUGAUGGAAACCACAAGAAAUUUGGCUGGAGUGAAGGACGAUAGAGGUUUACAGGCUAAUCAUGCCAAUAUUUAGCUAUAAGGAGUUGAAAAACACAAUUCAUUUUUUUUUUCUGAUUGCAGAGGAGAAGGCCUCAUCUCAUAAGAGGGGUUUUCAAGAUAUUAGUUUGAUGAUCCAACUUACAAGCUACCAUUUACGUUUAAGGUUGAAAAGUUGCAGCACCAUUGACUGAAUAGAAGCAUUUAAAGAAAGGUGAAUCCUGAAUUUUGAUGGAAACAACAGUAUAUACUUGUUUUUCCAAUAUCCAUUAUAUUCGCAUGAUGAAAUCUAUUACUGAGUCUCCAUAGCAUUAUCAUCUCGAGAAAAAAUCUGACCAAAAUUUAAAAAAGCUUUUCACGUAGCACCCCCAAAUUGUGUUUGAAGAAUAUUAGUUACUUAGGAAGAGAAUUUGAACUACUCCAUGUACAGUAGGAAGCAAGGAAUAUACAUGAAAAUCAUGAACAUGGUACCUGUAUAGAAAACAGAUCGAGAUCUUGACCAAUUCUACGGUGGUCCCGCCUUUUGGCCUCCUCCUUAAAGUGAAGAUAAGCUUUCAGUUGUUCUUCAUUCUCCCAUGCUGUGCCAUAUAUCCUUUGUAACAUUGGCUUAUUUGUGUCUCCUCUCCAGUAAGCCCCAGCGACAGACUCAAGUUCAAUAGCUUUUCUAUUGAUGUUUCCAGUAGAUUCUACAUGAGGCCCAGCACAAAGAUCCCACCAUUCAUUACCUAUGAAGAUAACAAAGAACAACAGUAAAACAGAAGAAUAAGAUUUCCUAAUGUCUAGAUGCAGGGUUCAGAAAGUUAAGGACUCCAACCAAGGGGAAAAAAAUUAAAACAAUAUAUAUUCUGGAAGACAAAUACAACGAUAGUAAGUAGGACUUUUCAGAAAACAUUUUCUUAAGUUUUUUAGCUCAAUUCGAGCUAAGCAAAGGUUUAUUAGGCGUAGAAGAAAGAAGCAGACCUCACCUAUAUGAUAGAUUGUGAUGGGCUCCUCUUUAAUGCUCUCAAGAAUCUCAAUCUUGUAAGGCUCCUUGACAUCAAUUAUCCUUUUAUGGGCUUCAUCUCUGCUAACUUCUUCUCUGAUUAAAGGCAAAUUUUUACCAAUAAUGCGAUCCUACAGAUGAUUCAAGAAAUAAAUUCUGUAGCCAAAAAAAGCAUUAUCUCACGUAAUGUUGUUGAAUAACAAGAAAAGAAAAGGACUGAUGAUCACAAUACAAGAAGACAAAGUCGGCUCACCAUUUCUUUUUUAAUUUUCUUAAGGUCCUUAUCAGUGAGAGGCUCCAUAUCAAAGUCAUAGUAAAAGCCAUUCUCAAUCCAAGGACCAAUCGUCACUUUUGCAUCCGGAUAAAUCUUUUGAACAGCCAUAGCCAUCACAUGAGCACACUGCAUUCGUUAAGAAAGAUUAAAAUCCUAUACAAUAAGAACUCAAUCAUCCAAAAUUUGCAUUUUGACUACGCAGGACCACUUCACAAGCUAAUGCAACUAGAUAAGCAAAUACGGAACAAUAAUAAGACAUAAUGUAAAAAGCAGCAUUAACAUUGAAUUUCAAAGUUCAAGGCUCUCAUUUUACUUAAUUAGAUUAGAAGUAUGAUUGUAGGAACAAAUUGACAUCUCAGUAAAUCAAAUUAACAAAAAGACUUGCUAUACUAACUCAAAAGUUCAAUAAUUUUUCGUAAGUUUGUGCAGAUUACGGAUUGCCCAUAAGGUCUAAGCCACAAAUCUGGCACCACAUACACAAGUUUCAUCUGCUCUUACGUUUUCUAAACAGUUAAUUAGGAAUUUUUUUUACAAUUAAUUUCGAAGUAUUACCGUGUGACGAAUCCUGAGGAGUUUCUCAGAAGACUUAUUGGUAGGAAGGACAAUUUUUCCGGAAUCGGAAUCGGAAUUGGUAUCUCUUCCUUCACCGGGCGGCGGAGCAGUGGGCAUUUCCGUAACUUCAGUAGCGACGGCGGAGAAUUUUGCCCUACGCAGUCCAUCCUUGCGAGAAAAACGAUGAUCAACAA
This 55005-nucleotide long non-coding RNA is filed under the name Erythranthe guttata (spotted monkey flower). RNAcentral describes it as "long non-coding RNA (EGUT_LNC000366)". Lineage: Eukaryota; Viridiplantae; Streptophyta; Magnoliopsida; Lamiales; Phrymaceae. The record is from RNAcentral.